This 50571-nucleotide long non-coding RNA is filed under the name Triticum aestivum (bread wheat). RNAcentral describes it as "long non-coding RNA (TAES_LNC009745)". The record is from RNAcentral. Lineage: Eukaryota; Viridiplantae; Streptophyta; Magnoliopsida; Poales; Poaceae.
UUUUUUUUUUGUAAAGUAGGUAUUGAAGACCUAACUUUGUGAUUUAUCGAUGGUUUACAUUCAAUAUUUUGUGUAUUCAUUUGAUCUGAGAAUAUUUUUUUGUAAAUAUACCUAAAAUAUUUUAGUUUUUUGUCGCAAAUGAACUAAUGAACCAGCGGUCCAACCAAUAAAAACGUAAGCUAUGGUUGUAUCUAAAUCUUUCAAUGGUUGGCUAUGUACACUGUCGUAUGACUUUAUCUAUGAAUUCAGCCUCUUGCCUUUUAUUCAAAAAGAAAACUACUGCACUAUCCGUAUCGGAAUUUGACGCUUUUUUUGUUUGUUUCUCGAUGCAUUCGAAUAUCUGUGAUGGUUAUGGUCCAUGUGUCCGUAGGUGCCUUAAACGAACGUGAGUGAAUUAUGAUGGCGGGAAAACAUAUCACACAGUUGUUGGUCCGAAAUCUGAUCUUUUCAGUGUCAGCACUAACGAAUGAUAAACAUACAUUGUUUGAGACACAAAAAACGUAACGCCUUUUAGUGUCAGCGCUAAGGCUGCCCAUAAUGGAAGUAUCAUAAGUUAUAUAAUGCAUGACAACUAAGUAAUUGUGAUGAGGUGGCAUAGAAUUAAAUGGAAAAAAGAUGCUUUAAGUAACAUAUCAUGAUACCAUAUCAUAUUAAAUGUUAUGCUAUUUUGUGUCAUUCAUGGCAGUAAAUAUAGUCUUCUAUAAUACUCCCUCCGUAAACUAAUAUAAGAGCAUUUAGAUCUUUAACUAAACACUCUUAUAUUAGUUUACAGAGGGAAUACCAACAUAUAAUAGUAUGCAUUAUGGAUAUAGUAUCAUAUACUAGUAUAUGAUACUCCCCAUUACAACGAACCUAACAAAUGAUAAACAUACAUUGUUUGAGACAAAAAAAAAAGAAACGCCUUUAGCAGUUCACGAGCACAAGUCACUGAAAAGGUACUCCCUCCGUAAAGAAAUAUAAGUGUGAUUAGAUCACUAAAACAGAGGGAGUAUUUUUUAGCGAACACAAAACAUAGGCAAGAUCGACCUGCUUGUUUCGAUGGCAUGGAGCAUGUGAACCGGACGUUUAACUAACACGGCUAACAAUAAUUCCUUAAACAGAGGCGAGUUCAUUCCUCUUCGUGCCACUUGGAAUAAUGUCUAUAGAAAUCAGAUGAUAGACGGAAGCUCACAGCUUCAAAGAUUAGUUCCCAGUUAACAUAACAUUUCACGAGGGCAUGACACGUAGAGGGCCAAUUUCCUUCCGGAGCACAUCACAGGCCCCAUGCGCAGCAUACAGAAUGGAAAGAACCUACAACAAGUAAUCCAUUUCUGCAUCUCAGCCACCAAAAAGUACCCUCUUGAUACCUGCAAACCAACCAAUGUUCUCAGCUAAACCGAACUGUAAUACUCAAUUAUACAAAAGCCAUUGAAUUUAUCUCACGGUUUUUGUAUGAUUUAAACAGUAAAUAUUAUCUUCAUCAUUGUGGAAGCCAUGCCACAAGCCUAAAGACUGAAUCAUCUCAGCAUUAUUGGUUAACUCCUACUGUUGGCAUAUUUUCAAUAACUCCAUAUGAACAUUCUAGAUUAUCAAACCUUUUGAAUUUUAUAUUUUUUCUCAUGGGAGUACUGAGGGACUCAUGGAGUAACGAAGGAUAAACAUUUGGUUUCUAGCUAACAGGCAUACCUUCUAGAAAUGUACGAGGUACAUAGUCCCUAACAAAUCGGAUGUAAUCAAAUUCAUGUAAGCCUCAAGCAAUAACCAUGUAUCUUUUUUUUACUCGGCAUACUGCAAAAAAUGAAAGACUAGCAACUACUUCCUCUGUUCACAAAUAUAAGACGUUCUAGACUGAUCAUACAAGUCUAAAACGUCUUAUAUUUAUGAACAGAGGGAGUACUUGUGAAGAAAGCAGUGUUUAAUAUGAAUCUAUUCAUGCCAAUUUUAUCAUGUGUUCAGAAUACAUUAUUAAACAUGUACAGUGAAGAUCAAAGAAAUAAUAGAUGGCACAUAAACCAUAGAAAUAUCCCACAUUUAGUUUGGGUCAGAAACUACAUUGGAGGUUAUGUGAGUUAGACAAACAAAUAGAGAUAUGCUGAGAAAAUGUUUACCCAAACCACUGAUAUCAAGACUAUUUUUCUGAAUCGUAAAGGGCAGCUACAAUUGUCUGCGUUAAACAGAAACGAUAAUAGAUCCACUAACCCGAGAAAUAACAUGAAAAUUCUUAAAUCAGGACCAGGACCGAUUUAUCCAAAACCAAACCAAAUUAGCCGUCUUGAAUUGAUGAUACUUGGGGUUACUUGUCCAAAUGAAACUAAAUUUCAACCACCAUGAUUAAGUUUCAAAGAAAACAGUGCAUAUUCAGUUCCAAGUGGACUCGCCACAUGUUUACUGAAAAAUAGCUCAUUUGCCAAGAUAGUAAGCUGAUACAUAUUUAUGUUGUUCGUGUUAAACUGAACCUUUAUUUUUUGAGUCUAGUUCAAGAGAACUCAGUGAGCAGAAUGCUUAUUGACUAAGAUACCGAUAUAAGUAUUCCCUCUAAAACUUCCUCAUGAGAAAACAAAUAACUGGAAAUCAGAAAGCAUCGGCGCUGCAAGAUGAUGACUAGUCGAACUGGUCAACAAAAAGGAAACUCUGGAGAAGCAUCAGAACAACAAAAUGAUGGAUCCCUCUAUUCCAUUUGCUGGCUUACCACAUCAUAUCCUCAAAUGAUUUGUCGAAGAUCACUGAGGACCCACAGGUGCUGGCCUACGUUGCACGGAUACUUGGAUACGUAUUGGAUACGUGAUACGGGGAUACGCCCGAUACGGCAAUUUUCUAAAAACUAGGAUACGGGGAUACGUCUGUAUAUACAUAUUAAUUAUUAAAUAUAUGAAAAAAUAACGAGUUUUUUUUGUAGGAAAUGCACUGUUUUAUUUAAAAAAUUGAAGUCUUCACAAUUGCUUAACAAAUACUGCAUGGAUCUCUUGUUGCCUCCUUUCCCUUUCCUAGUAUUUUCCAACAUCUGGACGUACCUCCACAAAGGCUUCUUCUCAUUAUCAUCUUCCGGAAUCACACGAGCAACAACCAAUACAUGGACUGCAUCCAUGCUACCUCCACUACCUGCGUCACUUCUAACUGAAGAAGACCUAAUAGACAUGGCCGAUCUGCACGGUAAAAGGAGGAGAUUAGGAAAACAGAUUAGUCAAACAGAUCUAAUCUUAAAAUCUGAACCUAAAACACCUACGUACAGAAUUCAGAGAAGGAGAUGGAGAAGAGAGAUCAGAGAAAGAGAGGGAGAUGAGAACAUACCUCCUGCAAGGGAGACACGAAUGUCUUCUGCCGGCGACGAGCCGGCGACCGAUCAGCGUUGAUUGGAUGGAGAGUUGGAGAAGAACAUGUGGGAGAGGAGAGGACUGGAGCUGAGAUUUAUGGAGAGUUGGAGACCUGCGGGCUGUGGCUGCUCGCCUGCUCCAAAGAGUCGAGGGGACGAGGUGGCCAGUUUUCAAUCGAGGGGACGAGGAUGACGUGCGGCGGCGCUAGGAGGGGAUCGAGGAGUUUUCAGUUUUACACGUCGAACAAAUGGGUUGCCGUAUCCAAAACGUAUCCCAGAGGUAUCCCAGAUGUAUCAAACACUAUUUUCUUUUUUUAAAAUCAAUAAAUCACAGGAUACUUACGGGAUACGUAUCGAGCAGUAUCAGGGCAGCAUCCGAGUAUCCGGCAGGAUACGCGCACUUUUUGAAGUAUCCGUGUAACGUAGGUGCUGGCAACGUGCCUCUAGCACAAGCUGAAAAAAAGAGGUUAUAAGCAUGGUAUUAUAUUCCAGCGCCCAGCAAUCAAACUUACAUGGAGUAGAUACUGAAUCUAAAGGUUUACAGCGUUAUGUUUUUGUUCUGGUAUUAGGAUUGGUCAAACAAAGGUGAAAACAAGGAAAAUAGAUCAACAACCUUCUAGCCUGCGAAUCAACCUAUGGUUAGGUGGACAGUGGUAUCCCCAACCCACCAGGGUUUAAAUCCUAGUGCUCGCAUUAAUUCUGGAUUUAUUUCAGGAUUUCCGGCGAUGUGCUUUCAGUGGGAGGAGACGUUCCCGUCGACGACGAGGCACCUAUGGUGACUUCGUAAAUCUCAAGAUGAUAUGCCGGCUCAUUCUCUUGAAGGUGCUCAUAGAAGUAGGGUGUGUAUGUGCGUUCAUAGGGAUGAGUGUAUACGCGUGUAUAUGAGCGCUUGUGUUUGUACUGAUGCUUAAAAAAAACAACCUUCUAGCCUUCUACUUGAGUAUCCUAUGCCCCGGCCACAUAUAGCUGUAGAUGUUUUUCUUAUGGCUAAAUCGAAGUGCAACGUUACAUAUCUAACAUUUUGCAAUUACUUCUGCCCUAACUGAAGUAUUACUAGAUUGGCUACUUAUGAGGUAUAAUGGAAAACACCAUAAAGGAUAGCCAUGUUGUAGAUCAGCAAACCGGCUUAUAUGUGCUGAAAGGUCCACUUACAAGCUCUGAAGGUUUACAUUGCAUUUAGGCUGUAAGAAGACACUAGACCAACAACUUCCUACUCGUGCAUUCAUUUUCCUGAUGACAUGUAUAUGCCAUUGUCCCGAUGAGAUACUUUUUUUUCGAAAAGGGGAGGCUCCUCGGCCUCUGCAUCUUAAUGAUGCAUACGGCCAUCUUAUUAAACAAAUAACAAAAAGUGCCAACAAGGUUCCACAGUCUCCAGCUAAAAAGAAAAGAUAAAUGCAGCUCACACAGAGCGAUGAAACGGCUAGAGACACAAACUAGCCUGAAAAAGAUGUCACAACCGGCUGGCUAACAAUAGAUAGGGAAACUAAUUGCCUAUCCUAUUACAUGACCGCCAUCCAAACCGGUUGAAGAUAUCCCGAGCUACCAUCUCCCAACGGAUAGAUCCAGUAACCAAAUGCUCCCUGGCCUCCAUCAGAGUGAGUAGCGACCACGAACGGAUCAGUGCCGUAGCUUGGAAAAUAACCUGCAAAAAAUGAAUCCGUGAUAUUCUGUUAAAAACCAAAUCAUUUCUGCAAUUCCAGAUGGUCCAUAACAAAGCACAAACUCCAACCCAAAUAUGUCUUGCUAAUUCAGGCUCAACCCCACUAAGCCAUGUCCCAAAUAAAGCAUCGACCGACGUCGGCGGAGUAAUAUUAAAAGCAAUAUGGACCGUCCGCCAAAGACCUUUGACCAACGGGCAAUCAAAGAAUAAAUGCUUAAUCGUCUCAUCCCGAUCACAGAAACUACACCUAGUAGGUCCUGUCCAAUUGCGUUUAAUCAAGUUGUCCUUUGUUAAAAUAACUUGUUUAUGGACAAACCACAUAAACACUUUAAUUUUUAAAGGCACUUUGACAGCCCAAACACACUUGGAAGUUGGAAUAGCAGUCGAAUUAAUAACAUCAAUAUACAUUGAUUUAACUGUAAAUACUCCAGAACUAGUCAACUUCCAGCGCAAUAUAUCGGGUUGGUGCGAAAGUUGAACCUCCAUCAGUCUCCUAACUAGAUGGAGCCAUUCUUCCCAGCGAUUGCCCGCUAGCGACCUUCGAAACUGAAUAUUAAGGGGGGUUGAUUGGAAGACCGUUGCAACAAACACAUCACGUCGUUGAGCAAUCCGAUAUAACGACGGAUAUUGAACGGCUAAAGGUGAUUCGCCAAGCCAAGUAUCCUCCCAGAAACGUGUACUUGUACCGUUUCCAAUAACAAAUCUCGUCCUAUUGAACAUAGAUUGCUUGACUUUCAUUAGUCCUUUCCAGAAGGGCGAAUCAGUCGGCCUGACUGCAACCUGGGACAAUGUUUUAAUUUGGAGAUACUUGUUGCGUAGGACCUGCACCCACAUGGCUUCAGUCCCGGAAAACAGCUUCCACAACCACUUACUAAGAAGACAUCUGUUCUUGACUUCAAGGUUUUCAAUGCCAAGACCCCCUUGGUCUUUCGGUCUACAGAUGAUGUCCCAUUUAGCUAGCCGGUAUUUUCUUUUAAGCUCAUCACCCUGCCAAAAGAAACGCGACCGAUAGAAGUCCAGUGGUUUCCUAACACCAACUGGGACCUCAAAGAAAGAUAAGAGAAACAUAGGCAUACUCGUGAGCACCGAAUUAAUCAAAAUCAAACGCCCUCCGUAUGACAUGAGCUUACCCUUCCAACAGCUCAGUUUUUUCUCAAAUCGAUGCUCGAUGCACUUCCAUUCUCUGUUUGUUAGCUUACGAUGGUGAAUCGGAAUGCCAAGGUAAGAGAAGGGUAAGCUCCCCAACUCGCACCCAAACAAUUGCCUAUAAGACUCCUGGUCGUCUUUGGCUCUACCAAAGCAGAACAAUUCGCUCUUAUGGAAGUUAAUCUUUAACCCGGUCAAUUGUUCGAACAGGCAUAACACCAGCUUCAUAUUUCUCGCCUUGGCCAAAUCAUGCUCCAUAAACAUGAUUGUAUCAUCGGCGUACUGAAGGAUGGAAACACCUCCUUCCCCAAGAUGAGGUACCAACCCACCCACUUGACCAUUCUCCUUAGCCCGUCCUAUCAAAAUUGCUAACAUAUCCACGACAAUGUGAAACAGGAUAGGGGACAUCGGCUCUCCUUGUCUUAGGCCUUUAUGUGUCUGGAAAUAAUGACCUAUGUCGUCAUUCACUUUAAUUCCCACACUCCCUUUUUGCGUAAAUGAUUCAACCUGUCGGCGCCAGGCUUCAUCAAAACCCUUCAUACGCAAUGUCUGUUGGAGGAAUGGCCACUUAACUUUAUCGUACGCUUUUUCGAAAUCCACCUUAAAAAUUACUCCAUCUAAUUUUUUGGAAUGGAUUUCAUGGAGGGUUUCAUGAAGAACCACCACCCCUUCAAGGAUGUUCCUGUCCGGCAUGAAAGCAGUUUGGGAUUGCUGCACCACAGACUACGCAAUCUGUGUGAGCCUAUUAGUCCCGACCUUGGUGAAGAUUUUGAAACUAACAUUGAGGAGGCAGAUCGGCCUGAACUGCUCGAUCCUCACAGCAUCCGUUUUCUUCGGGAGCAAAGUGAUAGUUCCAAAAUUCAAGUGAAAUAAUUGAAGCUGUCCAGAGAAUAAGUCAUGAAACAUAGGUAGUAAAUCCCCCUUAAUAAUGUGCCAGCACUUUUUAUAGAACUCAUCGGGAACCCAUCCGGACCGAGAGCCUUAUUAUUUUUCAUUUGUGCAAUAGCAUCGAACACCUCUUUUUCUGAGAACGGGGCAAUCAGGAUAUCAUUAUCGGCAGCUGUCAAUUGAGGUACAUCCUCAACCCUGGACUCGUCGAGGGACACACAAUUGUCCUCUGGCGGUCCAAAUAACUGUCUAUAGUAUUCGGUAAUAUAGUUUUUGAGAUUAUCCUGACCUAAAAUAGUGCCCUCAUCCUGCUCGAGCUGAAAGAUCCUCUUCUUUCUGUGCUUACCAUUGGCAAUGAGGUGAAAAAAUUGAGUAUUCGCGUCCCCUUGGACUACUUUGCGGACCUUGGCACGCAAAGUCCACUUCAAUUCUUCUUCGCGGAGAAGUUCUUUCAGCCUCUUCUCUGCCUCAUUUUUAACUUGGAGCUCGGCGGGCAGCAACAUCGCGGAUUCGGCUUUUACGUCCAAGGCCUGUACAAGAGAGAGGAGCAUAUCCUUCUCAAUCUUAUACACCCCACUGAGGUGCUUAGACCAACCUCGUAAGAAACUUCUCAAGUGCCUAAUUUUAUUCUGCCAGCGCUCGACCGCCGUCCUUCCUCCAACACCCUUGGCCCACUCCCUGGCUAUGAUGUCUAAGAACCCCUCGCGUUCGAACCAGGCCAUCUCAAAAGAGAAGGUGUUUUUGUUUCCCACAUGGUUCGGCUCCCCUGAGUCAACGAACAAUGGUGUGUGAUCGGAGAUUCCCCGCGUGAGAGCUUGCACCGUAACAAGAGGGAACUUCUGUUCCCACUCUACGCUGGCGAGAACCCGAUCAAGCUUUUCAAAUGUUGGGUUUGGCAUAGCAUUAGCCCAGGUAAACUGUCUACCAGAGAGCUCUAUCUCCCGUAGAUCUAGGCUUUCGAUAAUAGUAUUGAACAUAAACGACCAUCUGCCGUCAAAAUUAUCAUUAUUUUUCUCCUCUCUCCUUCUAAUGAUAUUAAAAUCACCCCCGACCAAAAUCGGAAGCUGUUCGGACCCACAAAUCCGAACAAGAUCCGCCAGAAACUCCGUUUUAAGCUCGGGUUGAGCGGCCCCAUAGACUGCUACCAAAGCCCAGUUGAACCCAUCAACUUUUGACUGUACUCGAAACUUUACCGCGAAGUCACCCAUUACUACACUCCGGACUUCAAGGGAAUCACAUCUCACACCCAGUAAGAUACCUCCCGAUCUACCUCGUGGCGGGAGGCAAUGCCAAUCGAACUCAAGACCACCCACCAGAGAGGAAAGAAACUGUGGCACAAAAUUGUCUCGACCGGUUUCCGAUAGAGCAAUGAAAUCUAAGCGAUGUUCCAGAGAAGCUUCAGCAAGAAACCUUCUUUUAGCCAAGUCCUUCAGACCUCUGCUAUUCCAAAAGAUUCCUUUCAUAGUUCAUCGUGGAAUUUUUUAGCAGUCCGAAUCCUAGCACUCCUACGAACUGCAGAAUCGGGAUAAAUCUUUUGCUUCCACUUACACUUUGGCUUAGUGGGCUCCGUCACCCGGUCCUCAUAACUGGGCUGAACGGAACCGCCAGCUACCUCAUCUAAGGGCUCAUCAUCGCCCUCAGACUCCUGAUUAGAAGGUGCUAGAUCCGCACAAAGGUUAUUAAGCACUCUAACCCCUAACGCAUCAAUUUCAUCAUCAUUCAUGGGUUUGACCGCAGCAAGAUAGCAAAUAGUCUCUAACGCCCGCUCCGCCUCUAAAUCUAACAUAUCAUUCACCGAAUUGGAAAUUUCAUUCUUAGUACUGCCUAGUGAAACUCCUAAUUGGUUUGCAUUAUUAAUAAUCUCCUCAGGAGCAUAAUGCAAUAAAGAAUUAGAUAUGUUAACGGACAUACCAGAAGAUAUCGCAGCAUCGUGAAGCUUGGCCGCCCUCAUGGCGCACCGCUGCUGCAUAUCGUCCACCUCCGGAAGGUCCAUAACGCGAGAACUCAUCUGUCUCCCCGUCAAGACCGGGUCUCAGACCCCGCCAAAAGCAAUAACCUCCACUCGGGAAUGAGGAGGCCGUGGGCUCCCAAUGCCCUCGGAUAAGUGCCCGGCGGGUAGGACAAGAGACGGGACAACUGGGGCCACCUGCCCACUCCCUCCUCCUGCCCCGCCCACCGGCGCAGAGCGAAGCGUGGGAGUCGUCGACGGUGCGGUCCUCCUGACCGCAGAUGAAGAACUCGUAGGAGGAGCAGUCUGCCCGACUACCGGAGAGGAGGGGAGAGCCACGGCCACCUGCCCCAGCUCUCCUCCCAGCGCAGCCGUCGGCACGCGAGCCACCGCCCCAACCGUAGAAGCAGGAGCCGAGGCCUCCUGCCUCGGGCUCGCUACCCCGGCACUAGCCAAGCCGACCGGUACCGGCGCCGCGGUGGGAGAAGAGGCUAGGCUACCUCCCCCACUGCCGACCAACGCCGGCCUCACCGGUGUGACCUGCAGCAGACGACGAGAAGGAGAGGCCGGGGCCACCUGCCCUAGACUCCCCUCCCCAGAUAGCACCUCCGAGCCUGUCGUAAUAUCCCUGCUCGAAGCCACAGUAGUAGGAAGCAAACCCAACUGAGGCUCCACCUCCGUAACCAUCACAGGACUAGCCACCUCAUCAAACUCCAAUGGAGGAAGCAUACAUUCAAAGCAAUCAUCAGUCUCAACCCGAUCACUCCAAAGCCGAGGAGGCGCCGAGGCUGGCUCGAAAGACCCAAAGCGCAAGGAACUCAUUGGUACCGUCGGGGCCGAUGCAGGUUCUACUCCAGAACCAUCACCGGGUAACUGAGCGGCCGUACUAGGCCCAUUGGCCCUCUCUCGUCCUGCCUCCUCAGUCGGGUCAUCACGAGCACCGGCAUCACCAUCCCCCUCGUGCAUGUCCAUAUCAGCCCCAGAACCCACGUCGGCGAACAACUCGGCAUCCUCAAACUCUAUCUCAAGAGGAAACACCUCUCCACGAUAAAACCAGUUAACCAUGUUCGGGAUAAAAUCCGUGUCCAGAACGCCCACCAAAAUCCGGGCCACCCCAUGUGCGCGGGUAAAAGCCAUGUCCACUUCCUCAGUCUUACCCACCAGCAUACCCAAACUCGCCACAACCCGAGCAUCGGUUAAAGCCUCAGAUGGGGCCCCUGAAAACCGCAGCCACACCUGUGUGAGCGGUUUGCCCUUAGGCUCCUCCUUUUUCCACUAGUGAAACUCCAGGAUACACUUAGUACCAGGCAGCCUGCAUAACCCGAAAAUCAACAGCUUCUGUAAGUCAUGCACCGUUGGGCAAUCAACCCUAAAGAUAUUGUCCUCGAUCCGAACAAGCUCCCACUGAAAGUCCCCGGGAACCAGUUCCUGAAGUCUCCGCACAAUUUGAGCCUCAAACACCACCUCUUGGGUGGCUUUCACAAUGCCAGUAGUCAUACUCUGAGCCACAACAGUAAUAUCCCUCGCCGCUGGGGACUCAAAGAAAGUGAGUUCGGCACAAUAUACUCCAUACAUCGUGAGCACAGGAGCCUGAUCACGCAAAACCGGGCAUUCCCCCAUAACAUGAGCACUCUUGCCACACAAGCUACAUAGUUCCGCUACACAUUCUGCAAUAAAGUGGCCUUUCUCACCACAUCGAUAGCACAACAUCUUUUCCUUCUUACGAGCCCAUUUAGAUGCCCUCUCAGCCUCAGCCAUGUCCCCUACCUCGGCCUCUCCAUCGGUAAUAGGGACCUCCACAUUGUCCAAAGCCGUCACCACCUCCAUCGCCUGGCUAGGCAACUCAGUCGCUGCACAGGAUCAAUAGCCAUAUCCGAAGAGGCCUGGUUAACCACGACCGGUGUUGGAGGUGGCUUGCGAAACUGACCACGACCACCACCCCUUCCACCACCACGGCCACCUCGAUGGCCACGGAAACCACCUCUCUGCUGGCUGUUCGGGCCCGAAGUCCCUUCAACGAAGUUACCCGCCGGACCAAGGAAAGGUCUCUCAUCCGAACCAUCACUUUGCCAGGCGUAACCGCGUCCACCUCCCGUAGAGGACGACCCACGGUUCUGGCCUUUUCCAUACACAUCAUAACCAUCAUCUCCCCACUGUCCUCGGGGCGGAUCCGAUGACUCGACAGUCAUGUUGUUAUGUCUCAUCUGCGUCGGACCCGGUCGAUUAUGCUUCGGCCUCGUGAUGUGAUGAGGCAGUGGCGCUGCCCGAGGCUGCACGCCUGCAUUAGUUGCCUGAACCCCCGGCCGAACCCCGUCGACAUGGCCAACCGGUUGAGGAUCAUCAUGCAUCGGCGGCCUUGGCGGCGCAGCUCCGCGCCCCAUGACGGAGGUAGCUGGAGGCCUCGGAGGAGGAGCACCACGGCCCGCGGUGGCCAUCGCAGGCGGCCUCGCCCCGGCCGGUGUGCCAAUGCCUCGGCCCAUCGUGGCCGCAGCCGCACCGCCGAGAGCUCCGGUGCCCCGCCCCGACAGCACGGGCGGCGCCCCCCCAGGACCAGAGCCAAUGACCGGCCGAGGCAGCGUACCACGACCAGCCCCCUCACCAGUAGAGGUUUGGCCUGCUAUAGAGAAACCACGGCCAGAGGCAGCCACCGGCGGCGGCACAGCCGAGGGCAGCGCACCACGGCCACCGCCCGACACAGCCCCAGCCCGGCCCGCCCCAGUAACCUCGGUUGGCUUCUUCCCGCCUGCAUCCCGACUCGCCAUGAACCCUAGCGGAGGGAUGCGACGAGCACGACCCGUAGGAGCCCGCCGAUGUGGAGGGCGCCUUAGCGGAACCCUACGGCGCGAGCACAAGGAGGACGAACCCGAUCGGUCAACGCAUGCGCAAUUCACGUCGACGAUCGAUGUAUCCUCAAUCCCUUCCUUUUUCAGCAAUACUGGACCCGGCCCGACUGCAGCCCCUUCGCACUGGGCCACAUACCCAGCCGAAGGAGGCCCAGUAACCACCGCUGGCCCCCAGGCACCGAUCAGGGAAUUCAAACGCAGGGCCCUCGCCGCCGCGAUCCUGUUCGAAUCUGCCGCCGUUGCCUGCUGCCAGCCGGCCGCCACACGGCCACCUUUCUUCCGUCUUACCACAACCGUCCAUGCCUCCGGCGCAACCAUAUCAAAAACCGUAAGUUUGGGUAGACGUACCUUGGGAAUUGGACCCUUCCACGGCCGAGAUGCGUUCGCCGCCGUCCUGCGGUGGACGACACGCCGGAGCAGCUCCAUCUUCUCUCCGGAUUGCAGGCCUUUCCUCGCCGGAUCCUGGGGAGGGACGACCGUCUCCACGAUCUCGGCCACGUCAUCCUCAUCGUAGCCAGAAGAGAAAGCCUCACAGAUUAUAUCGGAGGGAGUAGGCGAGCCCUUCAUGGAGCUGUUGGAUUGCCCACCUACGUCGUCAUCAUCUCCGCUUUCUUCGUCCGCUAGAGCCCAAAAUCUCCCCCCCCCACUCUGCGUCACUCACCGGAGCGCUGCUUCGAUGGCUUGGAAUCCUCUGUGAGAUCGAUCAAUUCAACAUGAUCAAGAAUCUCCGGUUUCUCCUGCACACGCAAAAGAACUAUAACCUCAAAAAUAUAAAUGAGCAAACGCUUACCUUCGAAGAUCUCUUCAUCAGCUUGGAGGUACACUCCUCCGAGGAUGUCACCAUCCAGAUCGCGCACCGCCAUCCACCUCGACGGGUAGUACGAAUAGAGAACUCCCUCCGCACUGCGGCCACCAUCCCGGAUCUCCUUGAAGGAAAUGUUCCAUUUGGUCGGAUGGAGGAACCCCUCAAAUUCCGCCGUAGCCUGCAGAUCCGGCGAGCCGCCGGCGUCAGACCCCGAGAGCGUCGAGUCAUCCCAAACAGGUCGCGGCGGCGCCGAUCUCCCCGCUGGCGGCGGAUCGGGAGGGGGCGGAAGGGGCGGAGGAGAUGUCGCCUCCAUCAUGAUUCCACCACAACCUAGAUCGGUCGCCUCCCGAUGAGAUACGUAUGUCAGUCCUUUCUCGUGUCUCCAAAUUAAUUCAACGUUGGCUUAUCAAAUAUUUUGUUAACUUCAUGACGGCUGACAAAAUAGUCACACAUCACAAUUAACCAAACAAAGAUGAGGAAGUACUGGAAGCUAUACCAGCUGGGGUAUAGAAGCAGACGUAAGGAAAGACAUCAUCGACCUUACCCAUCUCGCACACCUUCUUCAUCAGCAAUGACUUGAGCUCAAUAGUGAAGAUGCCAUGGUCAUCCGAAGUCACAAAAACAACAUUGGUGUGUUCAGUGGAUCCAAUCAAACGUGCUGGGCUCUUGAAAGGCAUCAGCUUCUGGAGAUGGAUGUCGUUCAUCUUCACCCAUUUGACACCUCCGCGAAAACCGGUCUCAGUCAACCACGGGUGGAGCACGUCACGACCCAAGGUGGCCAAUCCCAGCCCGCCGUUCUCCGCCCUCGUGACAAUAGUGCCCCUUCCAUGAAAUUUGCCGGGAGGCGGCUUGAUCAGCGAUAGGCUCUGUGUGAAGAUCUCUCUUGUGGUCAGUGGAUCGAAGGAAUUUUCAUGGGGAUUCGAGCUAAGAAUUUGAAUUCGGAUGAGGAUUCAUCCCAACCACCCACACCUCUUGUUGGGGAACAUUGCAGAAAACAAAAAAUUUCCUACUCGUUUCACCAAGAUCCAUCUAGGAGUUCAUCUAGCAACAAGUCAUGAGAUGCAUCUACAUACCUUUGUAGAUCGCGUGCGGAAGCGUUCAACGAACGGGGAUGAUGUAGUCGAACACGACGUGAUCCAAAUCACCGAUGACCGAGUGCCGAACGGACAGCACCUCCGCGUUCAACACACGUACGGGACGGGAGACGUCUCCUCCUUCUUGAUCCAGCAAGGGGGAAGGAGAGGUUGGUGAUGAUCCAGUAGCACGACGGCGUGGUGGUGGAUGCAGGGCGUCACAGUAGCAGGGCUUCGCCUAUACUACGCGAGAGAGAGAUGUAACAGGGAGAGAGGGAAGCACCAAAAGCGUAGCCUCAAGUCCCUCCUCUCCCUCACUAUAUAUAGGGGUGCCAAGGGGGGGGCGGCGCUAGGAGAUGGAUCUCCUAGGGGGGCGGCGGCCAAGGGUGGGGGGCUUGCCCCCCAAGGCAAGGGGGCGCCCCCCCUUUAGGGUUUCCCCUAACCCUAGGCGCAUGGGCCCCUUAGGGGGUGGCGCCCCAGCCCACUAAGGGCUGGGUUCCUUCCCACUUCAGCCCAUGGGGCCCUCCGGGAUAGGUGGCCCCACCCGGUGGACCCCCGGGACCCUUCCGGUGGUCCCGGUACAAUACCGGUAACCCCGAAACUUGUCCCGAUGGCCGAAACAACACUUCCUAUAUAUAAUUCUUUACCUCCGGACCAUUCCGGAACUCCUCGUGACGUCCGGGAUCUCAUCCGGGACUCCGAACAACAUUCGGGUUACUGCAUAUACAUAUCUUCACAACCCUAGCGUCACCGAACCUUAAGUGUGUAGACCCUACGGGUUCGGGAGACAUGUAGACAUGACCGAGACGACUCUCCGGUCAAUAACCAACAGCGGGAUCUGGAUACCCAUGUUGGCUCCCACAUGCUCCACGAUGAUCUCAUCGGAUGAACCACGAUGUCGAGGAUUCAAUCAACCCCGUAUGCAAUUCCCUUUGUCAAUCGAUAUAUUACUUGCCCGAGAUUCGAUCGUCGGUAUCCCAAUACCUCGUUCAAUCUCGUUACUGGCAAGUCACUUUACUCGUACCGUAAUGCAUGAUCCCGUGACCAGACACUUGGUCACUUUGAGCUCAUUAUGAUGAUGCAUUACCGAGUGGGCCCAGUGAUACCUCUCCGUCAUACGGAGUGACAAAUCCCAGUCUUGAUCCGUGUCAACCCAACAGACACUUUCGGAGAUACCCGUAGUAUACCUUUAUAGUCACCCAGUUACGUUGUGACGUUUGGUACACCCAAAGCACUCCUACGGUAUCCGGGAGUUACACGAUCUCAUGGUCUAAGGAAAAGAUACUUGACAUUGCAAAACUCUAGCAAACGAACUAUACGAUCUUUAUGCUAUGUUUAGGAUUGGGUCUUGUCCAUCACAUCAUUCUCCUAAUGAUGUGAUCUCGUUAUCAAUGACAUCUUAUGUCCAUAGCCAGGAAACCAUGACUAUCUGUUGAUUAACGAGCUAGUCAACUAGAGGCUUACUAGGGACAUGUUGGUGUCUGUUAUUCACACAUGUAUUACGAUUUCCGGAUAACACAAUUAUAGCAUGAAUGAAGACAAUUAUCAUGAACAAGGAAAUAUAAUAAUAAUGCUUUUAUUAUUGCCUCUAGGGCAUAUUUCCAACAGUCUCCCACUUGCACUAGAGUCAAUAAUCUAGUUACAUUGUGAUGAAUCGAACACCCAUGGAAUUCUGGUGUUGAUCAUGUUUUGCCCUAGGGAGAGGUUUAGUCAACGGAUCUGCUACAUUCAGGUCCGUAUGUACUUUACAAAUAUCUAUGUCUCCAUCCUGAACAUUUUCACGUAUGGAGUUGAAGUGACGCUUGAUGUGCCUUGUCUUCUUGUGAAACCUGGGCUCCUUGGCAAGUGCAAUAGCUCCAGUGUUGUCACAGAAGAGCUUGAUCGUCCCCGACGCAUUGGGUAUGACUCCGAGGUCGGUGAUGAACUCCUUCACCCAAAUUGCUUCAUGUGCUGCCUCCGAGGCUGCCAUGUACUCCGCUUCACAUGUAGAUCCCGCCACGACGCUCUGCUUGCAACUGCACCAGCUUACUGCCCCACCAUUCAAAAUAUACAUGUAUCCGGUUUGUGACUUUGAGUCAUCCAGAUCUGUGUCGAAGCUAGCGUCGACGUAACCCUUUACGACGAGCUCUUCGUCACCUCCAUAAACGAGAAACAUCUCCUUAGUCCUUUUCACGUACUUCAGGAUAUUCUUGACCGCUGUCCAGUGUUCCUUGCCGGGAUUACUUUGGUACCUUCCUACCAAACUUACGGCAAGGUUUACAUCAGGUCUGGUACACAGCAUGGCAUACAUAAUAGAACCUAUGGCUGAGGCAUAGGGGAUGACACUCAUCUCUUCUAUUUCUUCUGCCGUGGUCGGACUUUGAGCCGAGCUCAAUUUCAUACCUUGCAACACAGGCAAGAACCCCUUCUUAGAUUGAUCCAUAUUGAACUUCUUCAAUAUCUUAUCAAGGUAUGUGCUUUGUGAAAGACCUAUGAGGCGUCUCGAUCUAUCUCUAUAGAUUUUGAUGCCUAAUAUAUAAGCAGCUUCUCCAAGGUCCUUCAUUGAAAAACUCUUAUUCAAGUAGGCCUUAAUGCUGUCCAAGAGUUCUAUAUCAUUUCCCAUCAAAAUUAUGUCAUCUGCAUAUAAUAUGAGAAAUGCUACAGAGCUCCCACUCACUUUCUUGUAAACGCAGGCUUCUCCAUAAGUCUGCGUGAACCCAAACGCUUUGAUCAUCUCAUCAAAGCGAAUGUUCCAACUCCGAGAUGCUUGCACCAGCCCAUAAAUCGAGCGUUGGAGCUUGCACACCUUGUCAGCAUUCUUAGGAUCGACAAAACCUUCCGGCUGCAUCAUAUACAAUUCUUCCUUAAGGAAACCAUUAAGGAAUGCCGUUUUGACGUCCAUUUGCCAUAUUUCAUAAUCGUAAAACGCGGCAAUUGCUAACAUGAUUCGGACGGACUUCAGCUUCGCUACCGGUGAGAAAGUCUCAUCGUAGUCAACCCCUUGAACUUGUCGAUAACCCUUAGCGACAAGCCGAGCUUUAUAGAUGGUUACAUUACCAUCCGCGUCUGUCUUCUUCUUAAAGAUCCAUUUAUUCUCUAUGGCUCGCCUUUCAACGGGCAAGUCAGUCAAAGUCCAUACUUUGUUUUCAUACAUGGAUCCUAUCUCGGAUUUCAUGGCUUCUAGCCAUUUGUCGGAAUCCGGGCCCACGAUCGCUUCUUCAUAGUUCGAAGGUUCACCGUUGUCUAACAACAUGAUUUCCAAGACAGGGUUGCCGUACCACUCUUGUGCGGAACGUGUCCUUGUGGACCUUCGAAGUUCAGUAGCAACUUGAUCAGAAGUUUCAUGAUCAUCAUCAUUAACUUCCUCUCUAGUCGGUGCAGGCACCUCAGGAACAUUUUCUUGAGUUGCGCCAUUUUCCGGUUCAAGAGGUAACACUUCAUCAAGUUCUACUUUCCUCCCACUUACUUCUUUAGAGAGAAACUCUUUCUCUAGAAAGGAUCCAUUCUUGGCAACAAAGAUCUUGCCUUCGGAUCUGUGGUAGAACGUAUACCCAAUAGUUUCUUUUGGGUAUCCUAUGAAGACACAUUUUUCCGACUUGGGUUCGAGCUUUUCAGGUUGAAGUUUCUUGACAUAAGCAUCGCAUCCCCAAACUUUCAGAAACGACAACUUAGGUUUCUUUCCAAACCAUAAUUCAAACGGUGUCGUCUCAACGGAUUUUGACGGAGCCCUAUUUAAAGUGAAUGCAGCAGUCUCUAAAGCAUAGCCCCAAAAAGAUAGCGGUAGAUCGGUAAGAGACAUCAUAGACCGCACCAUAUCUAAUAGAGUGCGAUUACGACGUUCGUACACACCGUUACGCUGAGGUGUUCCAGGCGGCGUGAGUUGUGAAACUAUUCCACAUUUUCUUAAGUGUGUGCCAAAUUCGUGACUCAAGUAUUCUCCUCCACGAUCUGAUCGUAGAAACUUGAUUUUCCUGUCACGUUGAUUCUCAACCUCACUCUGAAAUUCCUUGAACUUUUCAAAGGUUUUAGACUUGUGUUUCAUUAAGUAAAUAUAUCCAUAUCUACUCAAAUCAUCAGUGAGGGUGAGAACACAACGAUAGCCACCGCGAGCCUCAACACUCAUUGGACCGCACACAUCAGUAUGUAUGAUUUCCAAUAAGUUGGUUGCUCGCUCCAUUGUUCCUGAGAACGGAGUCUUGGUCAUUUUACCCAUAAUGCAUGGUUCGCACGUGUCAAAUGAUUCAUAAUCAAGAGACUCUAAAAGUCCACCUGCAUGGAGCUUCUUCAUGCGUUUGACACCUAUGUGACCAAGGCGGCAGUGCCACAAGUAUGUGGGACUAUCAUUAUCAACCUUGUAUCUUUUGGUACUCACAUUAUGAACAUGUGUAGUAUUACGUUCGAGAUUCAUAAAGAAUAAACCAUUCACCAUAGGAGCAUGGCCAUAAAACAUAUCUCUCAUAUAAAUAGAACAACCAUUAUUCUCGGAUUUAAAUGAGUAGCCAUCUCGAAUUAAACGAGAUCCCGAUACAAUGUUCAUGCUCAAAGCUGGUACUAAAUAACAAUUAUUGAGGUUUAAAACUAAUCCCGUAGGUAAAUGAAGAGGUAGCGUGCCGACGGCGAUCACAUCGACUUUGGAACCAUUCCCGACGCGCAUCGUCACCUCGUCCUUUGCCAGUCUCCGCCUAUUCCGUAGUUCCUGCUGUGAGUUACAAAUGUGAGCAACUGCACCGGUAUCAAAUACCCAAGAGCUACUACGAUUACUGGUAAGGUACACAUCAAUUACAUGUAUAUCACAUAUACCUUUUGUUUUGCCGGCCUUCUUGUCUGCUAAGUAUUUGGGGCAGUUCCGCUUCCAGUGACCGCUUCCCUUGCAAUAAAAGCACUCAGUCUCGGGCUUGGGUCCAUUCUUUGGCUUCUUCCCGGCAGCUUGCUUGCCGGGCGCGGCAACUUCCUUGCCGUCCUUCUUGAAGUUCUUUUUACCCUUGCCUUUCUUGAACUUGGUGGUUUUAUUGACCAUCAACACUUGAUGUUCCUUUCUGACUUCUACCUCCGCUGAUUUCAGCAUUGAAAACAACUCAGGAAUGGUCUUUUGCAUCCCCUGCAUGUUGGAGUUCAUCACAAAGCUCUUGUAGCUUGGUGGAAGCGACUGGAGGAUUCUGUCAAUGACCGCAUCAUCCGGGAGAUUAACUCCCAGCUGAGUCAAGCGGUUAUGUAAUCCAGACAUAGUGAGUAUGUGCUCACUGACAGAACUGUUUUCCUCCAUUUUACAGCUGAAGAACUUGUCGGAGACUUCAUAUCUCUCGACCCGAGCAUGAGCUUGGAAAACCAUUUUCAGCUCUUCGAACAUCUCAUAUGCUCCAUGUCUCUCAAAACGCUUUUGGAGCCUCGGUUCUAAACUGUAAAGCAUGCCGCACUGAACGAGGGAGUAGUCGUCAACACGUGUCUGCCAAGCGUUCAUAACGUCUUGGUUCUGUGGGACGGGAGCUUCACCUAGCGGUGCUUGUAGGACGUAAUCUUUCUUGGCAGCUAUGAGGAUGAUCCUCAGGUUCCGGACCCAGUCCGUAUAGUUGUUGCCAUUGUCUUUCAGCUUGGUUUUCUCUAGGAACGCGUUGAAGUUGAGGACUACGUGGGCCAUUUGAUCUACAAGACAUAUUGUAAAAUAUUUUAGACUAAUGUUCAUGAUAAUAAAGUUCAUCUAAUCAAAUUAUAUAAUGAACUCCCACUUAGAUUAGACAUCCCUCUAGUCAUCUAAGUAUUACAUGAUCCGAGUUAACUAGGCCGUGUCCGAUCAUCACGUGAGACGGACUAGUCAACGUCGGUGAACAUCUUCAUGUUGAUCGCAUCUUCUAUACGACUCAUGCUCCACCUUUCGGUCUUCUGUGUUCCGAGGCCAUGUCUAUGCACAUGCUAGGCUCGUCAAGUUAACCCUAAGUGUUUUGCAUGUGUAAAACUGUCUUACACCCGUUGUAUGUGAACGUAAGAAUCUAUCACACCCGAUCAUCACGUGGUGCUUCGAAACGACGAACUUUAGCAACGGUGCACAGUUAGGGGAGAACACUUCUUGAAAUUGUUAUGAGGGAUCAUCUUAUUUACUACCAUCGUUCUAAGUAAACAAGAUGCAAAACAUGAUAAACAUCACAUGCAAUCAAAUAAUAAAUGUGACAUGAUAUGGCCAAUAUCACAUAGCUCCUUUGAUCUCCAUCUUGGGGCUCCAUGAUCAUCUUGUCACCGGCUUGACACCAUGAUCUCCAUCAUCAUGAUCUCCAUCAUCGUGUCUCCAUGAAGUUGCUCGCCAACUAUUACUUCUACUACUAUGGCUAACGCGUUUAGCAAUAAAGUAAAGUAAUUUACAUGGCGUUUCUCAAUGACACGCGGGUCAUAUAAAAGAAUAAAGACAACUCCUAUGGCUCCUGCCGGUUGUCAUACUCAUCGACAUGCAAGUCGUGAUUCCUAUUACAAUAGCAUGAACAUCUCAUACAUCACAUAUAGAUCAUUCAUCAUUCAUCACAACUUUGGCCAUAUCAUAUCACAAACCACUUGCUGCAAAAAACAAGUUAGACGUCCUCUAAUUGUUGUUGCAAGUUUUACGUGGCUGAAUUAGGGUUCUAGCAAGAACGUUUUCUUACCUACGUGAAAGCCACAACGUGAUUUGUCAACUUCUAUUUACCCUUCAUAAGGACCCUGUUCAUCGAAUCCGCUCCAACUAAAGUGGGAGAGACAGACACCCGCCAGCCACCUUAUGCAACUAGUGCAUGUUAGUCGGUGGAACCGGUCUCACGUAAGCGUACGUGUAAGGUUGGUCCGGGCCGCUUCAUCCCACAAUACCGCUGAAGCAAGAAAAGACUAGUAGCGGCAAGAAAGUUGACAAAUCCACGCCCACAACAAAUUGUGUUCUACUCGCGCAAGAAGAACUACGCAUAGACCUAGCUCAUGAUGCCACUGUUGGGGAACGUUGCAGAAAACAAAAAAAUUCCUACUCGUUUCACCAAGAUCCAUCUAGGAGUUCAUCUAGCAACGAGUCAUGAGAUGCAUCUACAUACCUUUGUAGAUUGCGUGCGGAAGCGUUCAACGAACUGGGAUGAUGUAGUCGAACACGACGUGAUCCAAAUCACCGAUGACCGAGUGCCGAACGGACGGCACCUCCGCGUUCAACACACGUACGGGACGGGAGACGUCUCCUCCUUCUUGAUCCAGCAAGGGGGAAGGAGAGGUUGGUGAUGAUCCAGCAACACGACGGCGUGGUGGUGGAUGCAGGGCGUCACAGUAGCAGGGCUUCGCCUAUACUACGCGAGAGAGAGAUGUAACAGGGAGAGAGGGAAGCACCAAAAGCGUAGCCUCAAGUCCCUCCUCUCCCUCACUAUAUAUAGGGGUGCCAAGGGGGCGGGCGCCGGCCCUAGGAGAUGGAUCUCCUAGGGGGGCGGCGGCCAAGGGUGGGGGGCUUGCCCCCCAAGGCAAGGGGGCGCCCCCCCUUUAGGGUUUCCCCUAACCCUAGGCGCAUGGGCCCCUUAGGGGGUGGCGCCCCAGCCCACUAAGGGCUGGGUUCCUUCCCACUUCAGCCCAUGGGGCCCUCCGGGAUAGGUGGCCCCACCCGGUGGACCCCCGGGACCCUUCCGGUGGUCCCGGUACAAUACCGGCAACAACGAAACUUGUCCCGAUGGCUGAAACAACACUUCCUUUAUAUAAUUCUUUACCUCUGGACCAUUCCGGAACUCCUCGUGAUGUCUGGGAUCUCAUCCGGGACUCCGAACAACAUUCGGGUUACUGCAUAUACAUAUCUUCACAACCCUAGCAUCACCGAACCUUAAGUGUGUAGACCCUACGGGUUCGGGAGACAUGUAGACAUGACCGAGACGACUCUCCGGUCAAUAACCAACAGCGGGAUCUGGAUACCCAUGUUGGCUCCCACAUGCUCCACGAUGAUCUCAUCGGAUGAACCACGAUGUCGAGGAUUCAAUCAACCCCGUAUGCAAUUCCCUUUGUCAAUCGAUAUAUUACUUGCCCGAGAUUCGAUCGUCGGUAUCCCAAUACCUCGUUCAAUCUCGUUACCGGCAAGUCACUUUACUCGUACCGUAAUGCAUGAUCCCGUGACUAGACACUUGGUCACUUUGAGCUCAUUAUGAUGAUGCAUUACCGAGUGGGCCCAGUGAUACCUCUCCGUCAUACGGAGUGACAAAUCCCAGUCUUGAUCCGUGUCAACCCAACAGACAAUUUCGGAGAUACCCGUAGUAUACCUUUAUAGUCACCCAGUUACGUUGUGACGUUUGGUACACCCAAAGCACUCCUACGGUAUCCGGGAGUUACACGAUCUCAUGGUCUAAGGAAAAGAUACUUGACAUUGCAAAACUCUAGCAAACGAACUAUAUGAUCUUUAUGCUAUGUUUAGGAUUGGGUCUUGUCCAUCACAUCAUUCUCCUAAUGAUGUGAUCUCGUUAUCAAUGACAUCUUAUGUCCAUAGCCAGGAAACGAUGACUAUCUGUUGAUUAACGAGCUAGUCAACUAGAGGCUUACUAGGGACAUGUUGGUGUCUGUUAUUCACACAUGUAUUACGAUUUCCGGAUAACACAAUUAUAGCAUGAAUGAAGACAAUUAUCAUGAACAAGGAAAUAUAAUAAUAAUGCUUUUAUUAUUGCCUCUAGGGCAUAUUUCCAACACCUCUAUCUGUUACAAGCGAGCCACGGCCGUAGCCGUCCAAAUCCUAGCCAAAGUGAGACGAUGGACUACUAUAGCUAUUUAACUGCUCGAGGUCGAGGGCGAUUUCGUCUCGGAUCCCAUCCGCCCGCGCCGACAUGAGGCUGUCGAGGGUCGCGUUGUUGGCCUCGAUCAUCUUGCUCAUCGACUUGAGAAGCGACUCACCGUGAGUCCGGAGCUUGUUGUCCAUGUCGCUUGUGAACUCAUGGCGAAGUAGUUCGUAGACGGUGCGACUGUCGGCGUUGAGCUCUUCCAUGGCUUGGAUCUGUUGCCGCUCGCCAAAUCGCGUCACGUAGUGGUGGGGCGGCAACUCCAGGUCGACGAGGCUCUGAUUCCCAGAUGUGAAGAUCUCUCUUGUGGUCAGUGGAUCGAAGGAAUUUUCAUGGGGAUUCGAGCUAAGAAUUUGAAUUCGGAUGAGGAUUCCUCCCAACCACCCACACCUCUAUCCGUUACAAUCGAGCCACGGCCGUAGCCGUCCAAAUCCUAGCCAAAGUGAGACGAUGGACUAUUGUAGCUAUUUAACAGUACACCCACUCAGCGGGCCCAGUUUGGGCUAGCAAGCCACUGGGGAAGCCUUUUGGGCCGGUUGGACUUGGGCCUUGGGCCCAGUGGGACUGGCGCCUUGCUCUUGUCGGCACGAUCCUGAGCGGCUACAGGCCUUCUGUCCUCAUCUUCAGGUUCAGGUGUUGCAUCUUCAGAGAUAACAGGAACAGGGCUGUUGACAUCCCCCCUCCGAUGAGAAACGGCUUGACCCCAAGCCGCCGAGCGGGGAAAUUGUUGACGGAGAGAAUCCAGGUCCUCCCAGGUCGCCUCCUCUGGAGACGAUCCGCUCCACUGGAUCAAACCCUGAGCAAUUGUACGCUUGCCUUGUCGACGCACGCGCUGCUGAAGAACACGCUGCGGAACCUGUAGAGAAGCAAAAGACGACGGCAGUUUACAAGCAACAGGGCAGUUAGGUAAGACCUCCUUUUUCAGUUGAGAGAUAUGAAAAACGGGGUGGACUCGGCUGUCAGGAGGUAAUUGCAGUUUGUAGGCUACUUCACCAUUUUUUUCCAGAAUACUGUAUGGGCCGUAGUACUUGUAGGCCAGCUUGUGGUUAGCUCUAUGCACAACCGACGACUGCACAUAAGGCUUUAGUUUGAGGAACACUUGUUCGCCAACCUCAAAACUUCUAUCAGUUCUUUUUUUGUCUGCCAUGUGCUUCAUCCGUUGCUGGGCUCGAAACAAAUGUUGUUUGACAGAAGCCACCACUACUUCUCUGUCCUGCAGCCACUGUUGUAUGUCCAUUGGAGCUACUGUAUCACUAACAGAGUUGCCAAAGUACCUUGGAGAAUGGCCAUACAACACUUCAAAAGGUGUUUUGCCCACAGCAGAAUGCCAAUUAGUGUUAUACCAGAAUUCACACAUCGAUAACCAUUUGCUCCACUUGGAUGGAUGAGAAAUGAUGAAACUUCUCAGGUAGCAUUCCACUUGUUGGUUGACUCGCUCGGUUUGCCCAUCAGUAGCAGGAUGGUAGGCAGAACUCAUAUUCAGUUGUGUGCCAGUCCUGUGAGUCAGGGUUUGCCCAAAAUUACUUGUAAAAACAGGAUCUCUGUCUGAGACAAUGUACUCUAGCAUUCCAUGCAGUUUAUAAACAUUGUCAAGGAAUAUUUCAGCCACUUUCUGUGCAGAGAAAGGAUGUUUUAGAGGCAUGAAAUGACCAUAUUUGGUAAACUUAUCUAUGACCACCAAAAUGCAAUCAAACUGAUGUGAAUGCGGUAGCCCAGUAAUGAAAUCCAUAGUGACAGUCUCCCAUGCUUUGUUUGGAACCGGCAAGGGAGAUAACAGCCCUGGAUACUCUACUCUCUCAGGUUUAGCUUGUUGACAAACUAGACAGGACUGCACUUUGUCCUUGAUAAACUUUUUCAUACCAGUCCAUCUGAACAAAGAGUGGAUUCUAUGAUAUGUAACAGGAAACCCAGAAUGACCACCAAUGGGACUAUCAUGGAAGGCAGAGAAGAUCUUGUCAUGCAGCUCCACACUGUUCCCCACCCACAGCCUUUGUAUCUCAACAACCCUUGAAUCAAUUGGAAAUUAGGUUUAGCAGAGGGAUUAACAGCUAAUGCUUGCAACAGUUCAGUGGCCUUGUCAUCUGCAGCAUAACUAGCUACUACAUCUUCCAACCACACAGGAUAUGAUCUGGAAAUGUGAAAUAACUAAAAGGAAUGAGGCCUUCUAGAAAGAGCAUCUGCAGCUGAUUUUUCCACCCCCUUUUUGUACACAAUGUUAUAGUUCAGGCCCAUGAGCUUGGUCAAUGCUUUCUGCUGCCAAACAGUGUGCAAUUUUUGAUUUUGCAAGUGUACAAGGCUCUUCUGGUCAGUUCUAAUAGUGAAUUGCUGGAACUGCAAGUAAGGUCUCCAAUGAUCAACAGCUAAUAAGAUAGCUAGAUAUUCCUUUUCAUAAACUGAAAGAGCUCUAUUCUUGGGCCCUAAAGCUUUACUCAUAUAGGCCAGUGGGUGUCCUUCUUGCAUUAGAAUAGCUCCAAUGCUUAACUCACAUGCAUCAGUUUCUAUAACAAAAGGUUUGUUAUAUUGAGGGAGGGCUAGUACUGGAGCUUCAAUCAAUGCUUUCUUCAAUGUUACAAAAGAUGUAUCUGUGAUUUCAGUCCAGACAAAUGGGACUCCCUUCUUAAGCAGUUCAGUCAGGGGCUUGCUGAUCACUCCAUAGUGUUGAAUGAAUUUCCUAUAAUAACCACUCAACCCAAGGAAACCUCUGACUUCCUUGACAUUAGUUGGAGUAGGCCAUUGCUCUACUGUUUGGAUUUUGCUAGGAUCUGUUGCAACUGCUUGAGCAGUUAUGGUAUGCCCCAAAUAACCAAUCUGUUGUUGAGCAAAAGCACACUUUGACAUUUUGAUUUUCCAUUGAUCAGCUCUUAGCAAAACCAACACUUCUCUAACAUGUUUUAAGUGCUCCUCAUAUGACUUGCUGAAAAUCAGAAUGUCAUCAAAGAAAACCAAGGUAUUCUUCCUGUUAACAGGGGACAAGGUGUUGUUCAAGGCCCCCUGGAAUGUUCCUGGAGCUUCACUCAGUCCCAUGGCCAGAACAUUAAACUCAUAGUGGCCAAGAUGAGUUUGGAAAGUUGUUUUAUAUUCCUCCCCCUCAGCUAGUCUGAUCUGAUGGUAACCAGCCCUGAGAUCCAAUUUAGCGAACCAAGGAGCACCAGAUAGUUCAUCCAAAAGCUCAUCAAUCACAGGUACUGGGAAUUUCCCUUUUACAGUGAUAGCAUUUAACAUCCUGUAGUCCACUACUAAUUUCCAUUCCCCUCCCUUUUUCUUAACUAGAAGCACUGGAGAAGAAAAAGGACUUUUGCUUGGUCUAAUGAUGCCUGACUUUAACAUUUCUGCAAUUUUCUUUUCAAGUUCAUCCUUUAACUGUGGUGCUAUCCUGUAAGGUCUAACUGUGACUGGUCUAGCUCCUGGAAUUAAAGUGGUUUUGUGGUCACACUCUCUUCUGGGUGGUAACUGAGUAGGAGUUUCAAAAACCUCAGCAAAUUCCUCUAAUAACAAUUGGAUUUCUGGGGUUACAGCAGGUUGUCCUUCAGUUUGAAGUGCAGAUAUAGCAACACAUGUGUAAGCACAUUCUUCAGAACCAAUGCCAUGUAAAGUGACUGUCUGUCCCUCCUUGUUAAAGGACAACCAUUUCUCAACCCAGUCAAUAUACAUGGGACUGUGUUGAGCUAGCCAAUCCAACCCCAAUAUGCCAUCAUAAGUUUGCAGGGGAAACAACUUGAAAUCUGAAAUAAAUUUAGCACCAUUGGACUGCCACACACAAUUUUUGAUUUGUUGUUGACACUGAAUUGUUGAACCACCAGCUACUGUAACUGUGAUUGUUUUAAUGGGACUGACACCUGCUAAUGAACUGUGCUGCAAAUCCAAGAAGGUGUGUGUAUUGCCUGAGUCAACUAGAAACUGAAAGGUGUGGCCCUGCAAUUCAAUCUCCAAUUGCAAAACAGGAGCUUCUGGUUCCUUUUCCAUAGCUGCAGCUGAUAACCUGAUGGAAUGAACCGAAGAUUGUUUAGGCUGUUCACUGUCAGAGUCAGAAUCUUCAGUGGAAUUGGAUUGUAAUUGUUCUAUCAUCUCUUGAACAAAAUGCAGUUGAACUGUGGCCUUGCACAUGUGAUCCUUAGACCAUUUCUCUCCACACACAAAACACAGGCCCUUGGACUUUCUAUAAUUUCUAAGUGAUGUCCACUUGUCUUCCUGAGCUACACCACUGACAGAGUCUAAACUUCGUGUGUCAUCCUGUUUCUGAACCCUCGAGCUGGUAUAACUAGAAGCAGUGCCCGAUUUCUUUGGAGCAGAACUUGAGGUGGACGAGUACAUUUCUCCUAAUUCCUCAUGGAGCAGAGCUAGUUCAUACGCAUCAUCUAAAUACUUGGGUUUCUGCAAUGGCACCGCCAUCCUUACUCCAGGUUUCAGCCCAUCCAAGAACCGGGUGGUGUAAUGCAGGGAGUUGGGUGUAUCUUCAAACGCUGUCAACUGAUCAUACAACUCUGCAAAGCGUUCAACAUAGUCUUCUACAGUAGUUGUUUGAGCAAUUUGGAACAGCUUCCUGAGCAGAGUUUGGUGUUUGUUUCGCCCAAAAUGACCCUGUAACGCAGCACAGAACUCUGACCAGUUGGUAUUUGGCAUGCGCCUGUGCAUAGAUUCAAGCCAUCGAGAAGCAGCACCUUCGAAUUGAGCUGUAGCCAGAGACAACCAUCUGUGAGGAGGCGUGCUCCACAACUUGAACUGCUCUUCGCAUCUGUUCUGCCACAUUCUCGAAUUUGACCCAUCGAACUUGGGAAUCUCCAGAUGCAUGGAAAACGAGGAAUACUCAGCAGUAUCUAUCGUAUGUGGAUCACGGGGAGAAAAAUUUCUGGGAGAGAAAACGGAAUCGCGCGCACCUCUGACUGGAGGAGGGACAUAGAUGUUAUGUGCCUUCCCCCGGUUUUCGUUGUCGAAGCCAAGGGCGCUGGUCGCGGCCGCGCUACAACCUGGCCCAUCGUUGCGCGAAGAGGUCCCGUCAACCUUGGGGUCUGGAUCCGGCGGUUCCAUCUUGUAGAAAUCCGUCCUGGUCUGCUCGAGAUCGAGGGCGAUUUCGUCUCGGAUCCCAUCCACCCGCGCCGACAUGAGGCUGUCGAGGGUCGCGUUGUUGGCCUCGAUCAUCUUGCUCAUCGACUUGAGAAGCGACUCACCGUGAGUCCGGAGCUUGUUGUCCAUGUCGCUUGUGAACUCAUGGCGAAGUAGUUCGUAGACGGUGCGGCUGUCGGCGUUGAGCUCUUCCAUGGCUUGGAUCCGUUGCCGCUCGCCGAAUCGCGUCGCGUAGUGGUGGGGCGGCAACUCCAGGUCGACGAGGCUCUGAUUCCCAGAUGUGAAGAUCUCUCUUGUGGUUAGUGGAUCGAAGGAAUUUUCAUGGGGAUUCGAGCUAAGAAUUUGAAUUCGGAUGAGGAUUCCUCCCAACCACCCACACCUCUAUCUGUUACAAUCGAGCCACGGCCGUAGCCGUCCAAAUCCUAGCCAAAGUGAGACGAUGGACUACUGUAGCUAUUUAACAGUACACCCGCUCAGCGGGCCCAGUUUGGGCUAGCAAGCCACUGGGGAAGCCUUUUGGGCCGGUUGGACUUGGGCCUUGGGCCCAGUGGGACUGGCGCCUUGCUCUUGUCGGCACGAUCCUGAGCGGCUACAGGCCUUCUAUCCUCAUCUUCAGGUUCAGGUGUUGCAUCUUCAGAGAUAACAGGAACAGGCCUGCUGACACUCUGCUUACCGCAGCAGGGCACCCGACUGGCAGACGAAGUUGAGCGUGCCCCCAACAAGCACGUCGGACCGAUCAGCCUCGAGGCUGUAUGGGCAGCCCUCAUCGAACUGCCCAUCGUUGUAAUCGAGGUAGAUGCCGUCUGGUCCCCUCCGCACGCCGGUCUUAGACGAGUACAAGCGAGCGUCCGCCUGUACCAAGUCCAUGACGUGCACGCCCGCGGAGGCCAUGAGGAACGCCCCGCCGCUGCAGGCGCUGUGGUCGCAGCCGGCGCCCGCGGCGCAGAGCACCACGUGGUUCGUGUAGCGAUCCGGCAAAUCGUCGGGCAUCCGGCGCUCGCGGCCAGUGACGGGAUCCCAGACGAGGAUCUGUAGUCAUAGAGGAGGGCGCGGCCGUGGCGGCAGUCGAGCACAAUGGAGGUGCGGUGGUCGGUGGAGGCGGGCGGACGGAACGCCGUGGUGGGGACGAAGCGAGCGAGGCGGCGGUUUACCGGGUUGUGGAGGAAGCCGAGCACGAGGGGCGUGCCGUGGAAGUCGCGGUAGCGGCGGACGAAGGCGGGCUCGGUGAGGGCGCGGAGCCAGGACUUGCAGACGGCGGAGGAGGCCCGCGGGGUCGUCCGGCGGCAGGCGCAGGAGGACCUCGGCAACGGCGUCCGAGACCAGCUCCGGUGGCGGCGCCAUGGAGGGCGGAUGCGAGGGUUUUGGGCGGGGAUUGGGGAAUGGGGAUAGCAGAAAAGCGAGUGAGGAAGAGGGGGGAUUUUUUUUCUGAGAAAUAGGAAGAGGGAGGAUGGGUUGUCCCGUGCUGCGCGCUGCGGGUUCCAACGGGCCCCUUUUACGAGAACUGAAAGGCCCAAAUAACAGGAACAAAUCUUUCUGUUUUCAAAGACAUUGAGCAUUUUAUUUCACAAAUAAAAGUCUAAAAAAUCACAAAUAAAAACAUCCCAUGGAAUUUUGAAACAUAUUUCAAGCAAAAAAACAUAUGGAAAAUUUAUAUCAAUGAAAAAAUAUUAAUAAAAUACAUUUUAUUUGACAACCAUAGAUAUAUUUUUGUGGAAAGCGAGAUAAAUGUUAAGAAAAAAGUUUAUAAGGGUAGAAUAUUUCUUUCAGUCAAAACAAGUAGAGUGAAUAUUUUAUUUGUCACAGUGAAUGCUUAAAGAUUCUACAAGAUGAACAUUUUUCAUUGAUGUCGAAACAUAUUUUGGAAUUAUCUAUCAAAAAUUGGUGGGACAGUUGAUCGCAAAGGAUUCAAAGGAGGCGAGUAGACGUGGAAGUGGUAGACUCAUCUUCACCAUAUAGAACAUCUAGAAGGAGAAGAACGGGCAUGUUUUUACGUGCCAUUCUAUGAGGUGGCAAAGUUGGAUUAUGAGGUCAUCAAACGAUGUGAGAUGGCGUUUUUGGGAGCCAUGCCUACGGAGGGCAUUGAGCAACUUUUGCAUUUCAUAUUACUCUUUCCUCUCAAGUUAGGGUUUCUUUUUUCCUCUACUGACUGCAAUGCCUAGGGCACUCAUCCUCUGAAAACUUCGCCGGCGAGCCUGUGGAUCCAUCUCCUCCUUGCCUGCCGCUCAGGGAGUCGAUGGCGGGGAUGAGGAUCUUGGAGCCUCAACCUCUGCUAAUAGUCUAGGUUAGGCUUUUCUCAUAGGGCAGCAUUCAGGCAUAUGGCGGCACUUUAUCUAUGAGAUGUCUUCCGGGUUCCGAUCCUCCUCGAGUUCGUCCAUCGGGGCGGAGUCGGUGGAGCUCUAGCGUAGAGUACUGUCAUGUCCUUCAAAAAUGCAUUACUAAUUGUGUUCCCAUAGCAAAGCAAGGACCGUCCAUACAAUAUUUUGUAUGUGUAUGUGCACGUGAGGUGUAUGUGCGUCUGCAUAUGUCGUGCACGGCAAACAGACAGUGCCGCUGCAUGCUUAAUGUUCAUAGUCAAUCAUAUGCUACCAAAGCGGGAUUUUUAACGACACUUGUACCUACUGGCACAUCUGUUGCCCUUCAUUUGACAUCAAGAUUGGUGCGCUGACUUGAAGUAUGAAGGUACUAAAUAUUUUACUGCAUAUAUACAUUGCAAUACACUCUGAUAGCGUUCCACGAUAUCAACUUUCCGUCGAGUAAAAGUAGGGAAGGAUGGGUGGUUGCAUGCACACAAAUUCUCUCUCUCUCCCUCUCUUCACCCAAUAGAAAGCUAGCAGUUGAUGUUGAGAUUGCUGGAGCUAGCUGGAUGAGGGCGACUGGGGCGACUCCCCGGAAGACCGCGGAGGCGUCCGCCGCGCCGUGUCCUCCCGCUGCGGCUGCUCGGGCGGGCAUUGGCGGUCGCUUCUGGGCCCUAUUGGCUACAGACGAGGAGGAGGCCGACGGAGAUAGCGACGACUCAGAGGGUUCGCCGCCGUCGCCUACGCCUUCGAAUCUGAUUUGCGAUCUGUUUCAUGCAGGGUAUGACGAAGAUGAGGUGGGCACUACCGUAGACACGGUCGUGCCGGUGGAGGAUCCGGCGAGGGUUGGGCUUCUUCUGGACGAGAGGAAGGAAUUGGUACGCCGUGUCGUUCACCGGAGAAAUGCGGCAUCUGUGGUCAGACUGUGGAAGGGACCGUUGCCUAAGGUACGCCUUCCAAACCUCACUUUGUUCGAUUUAAUCCAUCUGGAUUCAUGGACGGUGGUCAAGAAGAGAAAGGCUGCUCGUCGGCCGAGAGCCGGAUCACUGCCGGCGGCGGCGGCUGUGGUGCCGUCGAGGUUGCCGUGCGGGAUCCGAGCGGCUCGCAGCGAGCGCUUGAACGAACUAUUGGGCCGAUGUGGGCCGGAUUCUAAUUGCGUUGACGCACUGCAACGUGGGCCGGAUAUGGCUGGGUAUGACGCCCAGGCCAUACCGGGCGACACAUGCACAACAUCUAGCGCCGCAUGCACGGACGUAAUCUCCUCCUACGCGUGCGUAUCUGCUUCUUCGCCUAGGGUUCGUCGACGUGGGACACCCGUUCUACCUCCGUGCGGUCCUGGUCGUGCUCGCCGGAUCCCGCCACUGCGUGCGAUGGCCGGUCGAGGAGCGGGUGGGCCGCCGACGGCGCAGCCCCAAGCGGCUGCGAGUAUGGCGGGGGCCGUCGUGCCGCCGCCGCCGCCUGGGAGGGCCGGUCGAGGGGUCCCCGGCGCGGGGCUCGGCGCAGCUGGCGCUGGGCGAGCUGUAGUCGGGGCCGGGCGUGGCGCUCCCGCCCCCUCAGGACGGGUUGGCGGCAACCAAGGGGCACGGCCGCCCGUGCCUACGACGGCUCGGCCGCCGGUGGUGCCUACGGGCAGUGGAGGACCUGCUGGUCCCCGACCUCCGGGACCAACGCCUGCCAGGCCGCCGGGCUUACCCGCGGGAAGAGGAGGCCCAGUAGGGCCGCGACCUCCGGGGCCAUCGCCUCAGGUGGCUACUGUCAUGGGUCGUAGCGGCGGGUUUGGUCCUAGACCUGUGCUGCCGGCCUCGGGUGGUGCUCCGCCUCGGGCGGCUCCGCCGCCGCACUAUGCCGCGAGGCCGGCUCAGUAUCGGUCAGGGUCUUCGCAGCCUAGGAAGGAGUUGACAGUUCGAGAGUCUUUUGAGGCGCCCCGAGGUCAGUGGGGUGAUGAUGGUGUUGAUGCGUAUGGAGACGGACAGCACCGCGGUUCCUCGUCUACUGGUGGAGGCCGAGGCUAUACUUGGCAGAGUGACGGGUCUGCUGAGAGACCUUUCCUUGGACCUCCUAGUGGCUUUGUCGAGGGGGCAUCCGGUCCGGAUCACCGCCAGAGAGGUGGAUUCCGUGGACGUCGGGGUGGUCGGGGUGGGGCCCGUGGGAGGUUUCGUCGGCAACCUCCGCCUCCGGUUGCUGUUGACCAUGGGGCUACUGCGGUUGAGACAGAUACUUCUCAGUCUAUGGAUAUUACUACUCAGGCAAUGGAGGUGGUAACGGCACUGGCCAAGGUUGAUGUUCCGGUGCCUGGGGUUGUGGGUGAAACAUCAGACAGGUCUGACUCUGAGAGGGCGGCCAAGUGGGCGCGCAAGAAGGAAAGGAUGCUGUGUUACCGGUGUGGUGAGAAGGGCCAUUUUAUUGCAGAGUGCGUCGCAGAGCUGUGUGACUCGUGUGGCAAGCUUGCACAUGACUCGGGAGAUUGCCCGUUAGUGCGUGACCAGGCUCCAUCUCUGACUAUGUAUGGGCUGUACUGUGCGGAGUUAUUGUUCUUCGAGUCCCCGGCCGCGAGGGAGAUUCCCGAGGAUACACAGUGCCUGACUACUGGGAUUGUGAAAGCAACUCAGGGCGAGGUAACUAAGGCUCAGAUUAUCCAGAGGCUUCAGGAGUUGGCACCGGUGGACUUUCAGUGGGAGUUGGUCAGUCUCGAAGCUAAUGUCUUUAAGGUGGAUUUCCCUUCUGUGGAGGAUUUACAGAAAUUGCUGAGUUUUGGCUUGUGUAGAGUUCCUGGUACUACGUGUAUUUUGGAGUUUCACGAGUGGACGAAGGUGGAGCCUAAAGGCAAGCCGCUUACGCAGAUCUGGUUGCGGUUUUCUGGGGGCCCAUCUAAGCCUCUGCAGGACGUUCGAGUUGUAGCCAGUAUGGGUAUCAUGGUUGGAAAGACAGAGAGAGUGGAUAUGGCUUUCACUCGGGCUCAUGGAGUGGCUCGGAUAUUGGUGAGUGUUCUGAAUGUUGACUUCGUGCCUGAUGUCGUUCACUGGACAUUUAGGGGAGAUGUAUUCCUGCUCGACAUAGAGUUUGAGGACGUUGAGAUGUUCGCUGACGAGGUUGCUGGGGAUGAUGUUGAUAUGCACGAGAGUGAUGGUGGUGCAGGAGCCAAGGGGGCGCCAGACGAGUCUGCUCGAGAGGGGUCGACCGGACCUCGUCCAGAUGCUCAGUUGCCUGAGGAGGGGACCGGAGCUGGCUCGACACCGUCACCUUCGGUGCCCAUGACAACACUGCGUUUUGGGUCCUUUGAGCCUGCUUCUGCGCCUCCCAGGCUGUGGAGCGACAGGGUAGAGACUGAUGAUGAGUUUGAGCACACGCUUCCUUCUUUGGACUUUGCGGGGAUUGCAGUUCGGGAUGUAGAGCUGGAGGUCGCUCCUAUUUCCCUUGCUGUACCGGUUGAGGUGGCUCCGACAUUGUCAUCUAUGACCGAGGUGGGCCUUUCGGGACGGGGGUCAGGGCAGGUGGCCUUGUCCUCUCCCCUCCCUAUACAGACGCCGGUGUCACCGGCCACGUCGGGGGCCGCCAGCGAUAGAAGCGGGAGCCCGAGGCAGGUGGCUUCGGCUCUCCCUCCUCAGGCCCUGGCUGUGGCGCCAGCAUCCCCCGGGACGCUGGGGGAGGAGGGGCUGGGGCAGGUGGCCCUAGACCUCCCUUCAUCGUCUGUGGUCAGCAGGACCGCUUUCUCGGCGACUUCGACGCUCCGCUCUGAGCCGGUGGGCGGGGCAGGAGGAGGGAGUGGGCAGGUGGCCCCAGUUGUCCCGCCUCUUGCCAUACCUGCCGGGCACUUGUCCGAGGGCAUCGGGAGCCCGCAGCUUCCUCAUUAUCGAGAGGAGGUUGUUGCCUUUGGCGGUAUCCCAGACCCGGUCUCAACGGGGAGACGGAUGAGUGCUCGCGUUCUGGACCUUCCGGAGGUGGACGAUAUGCAGUAGCGGUGCGCUAUGAGGGCGGCCAAGCUUCAUGAUGCUGCGAUAUCUACUGGUAUGUCCGUUAACAUAUCUAAUUCUUUAUUGCAUUUUGCUCCUGAGGAGAUUGUUAAUAAUGCAAACCAAUUAGGAGUUUCACUAGGCGCUACUGAUAUUGAAAUCUCCAAUUCGGUGAAUGACAUGUUAGAUUUAGAGGCGGAGCGGGCCUUAGAGACUAUUCGUAAUCUUGCUGCGGUCAAACCCAUGAAUGAUGAGGAAAUUGAUGCGUUAGGGGUUAGAGUGCUAAAUAAUCUAUGUGCGGACCUAGCACCUUCUAAUCAGGAGUCGGAGGGCGAUGAUGCGCCCUUAGAUGAUGUAGAUAUCAGUUCUGUUCAGUCCGGUUAUGAGGACCGGGUGACGGAGCACACUAAGCCAAGGUGUAAGUGGAAGCGAAAGAUUUAUCCCGACUCUGCUGUUCGUAGGAGUGCUAGGAUUCGGACUGCUAAAAAAUUCCAUGAUGAACUAUGAAAGGAAUCUUUUGGAAUAGCAGAGGUCUGAAAGACUUGGCUAAAAGAAGGUUUCUUGCCGAAGCUUCUCUGGAACAUCGGUUAGAUUUCGUUGCUCUGUCGGAAACCGGUCGAGAGAAUUUUGCGCCGCAGUUUCUUUCCUCUCUUGUGGGUGGUCUUGAUUUCGAUUGGCAUUGCCUCACGCCACGAGGUAGAUCGGGGGGCAUCUUACUGGGUGUGAGAUGUGAUUCCCUUGAAGUCCGGAGUGUAGUAAUGGGUGACUUCGCGGUAAAGUUUCGAGUUAGGUCUAAAGUUGAUGGGUUCAACUGGGCUUUGGUAGCGGUCUAUGGUGCUGCCCAACCCGAGCUUAAACCGGAGUUUCUGGCGGAUCUUGUUCGGAUAUGUGGGUCCGAACAACUUCCGAUUUUGGUCGGGGGUGAUUUCAAUAUCAUUAGAAGGAGAGAGGAGAAAAACAAUGAUAACUUCGACGGCAGGUGGUCGUUUAUGUUCAAUACUAUUAUUGAAAGCUUAGAUCUAAGGGAGAUAGAGCUUACUGGUAGAUAGUUUACCUGGGCUAAUGCUAUGCCAAACCCGACAUAUGAAAAGCUUGAUCGGGUUCUCGCCAGCGUGGAGUGGGAAUAGAAGUUCCCUCUUGUUACGGUGCAAGCUCUCACGCGGGGUAUCUCCGAUCACACACCUUUGUUCGUGGACUCAGGGGAGCCGAACCAUAUAGGAAACAAAAACACCUUCUCUUUUGAGAUGGCCUGGUUCGAACGCGAGGGAUUCUUAGACAUCAUAGCUAGGGAGUGGGCUAAGGGUGUUGGAGGAAGGACGGCGGUCGAGCGCUGGCAGAAUAAAAUUAGGCAUUUGAGAAGUUUCUUACGGGGUUGGGCUAAGCAUCUCAGUGGGGUGUAUAAGAUUGAGAAGGAUAGGCUCCUCUCUCUUGUACAGCCCUUGGACGUAAAAGCUAAGUCCGCGUUGUUGCUGCCCGCCGAGCUCCAAGUUAAAAAUGAGGCGGAGAAGAGGCUGAAAGAACUUCUCCGCGAAGAAGAAUUGAAGUGGGCUUUGCGUGCCAAGGUCCGCAAAGUAGUCCAAGGGGACGCGAAUACUCAAUUUUUCCACCUCAUUGCUAAUGGUAAACACAGAAAGAAGCGGAUCUUUCAGCUAGAGCAGGAUGAGGGUACUAUUUUAGGGCAGGAUAAUCUCAAAACCUAUAUUUCCGAAUACUAUAGACAGCUAUUUGGACCGCCGAAGGCCAAUUAUGUGUCCCUCGAUGAGUCCAGGGUUGAGGACGUGCCUCAAUUGACUGCUGCUGAUAAUGAUAUCCUGGUUGCCCCGUUCUCGGAAAAGGAGGUGUUCGAUGCUAUUGCACAAAUGAAAAACAAUAAGGCUCCCGGUCCGGAUGGGUUCCCGGCUGAGUUCUAUAAAAAGUGCUGGCACAUUAUUUAGGGGGAUUUACUACCUAUGUUUCAUGAUCUAUUCUCUAGACAGCUUCAAUUAUUUCACUUGAAUUUUGGAACUAUCACAUUGCUUCCGAAGAAAAUGGAUGCUGCGAGGAUUGAGCAGUUCAGGCCGAUCUGCCUCCUCAAUGUUAGUUUCAAAAUCUUCACCAAGGUCGGGACUAAUAGGCUCACACAGAUUGCGCAAUCUGUGGUGAAGCAAUCCCAAACUGCUUUCAUGCCGGACAGGAACAUCCUUGAAGGGGUGGUUGUCCUUCAUGAAACGCUCCAUGAAAUCCAUUCCAAAAAAUUAGAUGGAGUAAUUUUUAAGGUGGAUUUCGAAAAAGCGUACGAUAAGGUUAAGUGGCCAUUCCUCCAACAGGCAUUGCGUAUGAAAGGUUUUGAUGAAGCCUGGCGCCGACAGGUCGAAUCAUUUACGCAAAAAGGGAGUGUGGAAAUUAAAGUGAAUGACGACAUAGGUCAUUAUUUCCAGACACAUAAAGGCCUAAGACAAGGAGAUCCGAUGUCCCCUAUCCUGUUUAACAUUGUGGUGGAUAUGUUAGCAAUUUUGAUAGGCCGGGCUAAGGAGAAUGGUCAAGUGGGUGGGUUGGUUCCUCAUCUUGUUGAGGGAGGUGUUUCCAUCCUUCAGUAUGCUGAUGAUACAAUCAUCUUUAUGGAGCAUGAUUUGGCCAAGGCGAGAAAUAUGAAGCUUGUGUUAUGUCUGUUUGAACAAUUGACCGGGUUAAAGAUUAACUUCCAUAAGAGCGAAUUGUUCUGCUUUGGUAGAGCCAAAGACGACCAGGAGUCUUAUAGGCAAUUGUUUGGGUGCGGGUUGGGGAGUUUACCCCUCUCUUACCUUGGUAUCCCGAUUCACCAUCGUAGGCUAACAAACAGAGAAUGGAAGUGCAUCGAGGAUCGAUUUGAGAAAAAACUGAGCUGUUGGAAGGUUAAGCUCAUGUCAUACGGAGGUCGUUUGAUAUUGAUUAAUUCGGUGCUCACGAGUAUGCCUAUGUUUCUCUUAUCUUUCUUUGAGGUCCCAGUUGGUGUUAGGAAACGACUGGACUUCUAUCGGUCGCGCUUCUUUUGACAGGGUGAUGAACUUAAAAGAAAAUAUCGGCUUGCUAAAUGGGACAUCAUCUGUAGACCGAAAGACCAAGGGGGUCUUGGUAUUGAAAAUCUAAGAAGUCAAGAACAGAUGUCUUCUUAGUAAUUGGUUGUGGAAGCUGUCUUCCGGGACUGAGGCCAUGUGGGCGCAGAUCCUCCGCAACAAGUACCUCCAAACUAAAACAUUGUCCCAGGUCGCAGUCAGGCCGACUGAUUCGCCUUUCUGGAAAGGACUAAUGAAAGUCAAACAAUCUAUGUUCAAUAGGACGAGAUUUGUUAUUGGAAACGGUACAAGUACCCAUUUCUGGAAGGAUACUUGGCUUGGUGAAUCACCUUUAGCCAUUCAAUAUCCGUCUUUAUAUCGGAUUGCUCAACGACGUGAGGUGUUCGUGGCAACGGUAUUCCAAUCUAUCCCCCUUAACAUUCAGUUUCGACGGUCGCUAGCGGGCAAUUGUUGGGAAGAGUGCCUUCAUCUAGUUAGGAGACUGAUGGAGGUUCAACUUUCUCACCAACCCGAUAUAUUGCGUUGGAAGUUGACUAGUUCUGGAGUAUUUACAGUUAAAUCGAUGUAUAUUGAUGUUAUUAAUUCGAAUGCUAUUCCAACUUCCAAGUUUGUUUGGGCUGUCAAGGUGCCUUUAAAAAUCAAAGUGUUUAUGUGGUUUGUCCAUAAACAAGUUAUUUUAACAAAGGACAACUUGAUUAAACGCAAUUGGACAGGACCUACUAGGUGUAGUUUCUGUGAUCGGGAUGAGACGAUUAAGCAUUUAUUCUUUGAUUGCCCGUUGGCUAGAGUUCUUUGGCGGACGAUCCAUAUUGCCUUUAAUCUUACUCCGCCGACUUCUGUCCAUGCUUUAUUUGGGACAUGGCUUAAUGGGGUUGAGCCUGUUCUCGCAAGACAUAUUCGGGUUGGAGUUUGCGCUUUUUUAUGGACUAUCUGGAAUUGCAGAAAUGAUUUGGUUUUUAACAGAACAUCACGGAUUCAUUUUUUGCAGGUUAUUUUCUGAGCUACGGCACUGAUCCGUUCAUAGUCGCUACUCACUCCGAUGGAGGCCAGGGAGCAUUUGGUUACUGGAUCUAUCCGUUGGGAGAUAGUCGCUCGGGAUAUCUUCAACCGGUUUGGAUGGCGGUCAUGUAAUAGGAUAGGCAAUUAGUUUCCCUAUCUAUUGUUAGCCAGCCGGUUGUGGCAUCUUUUUUGGGCUAGUUUGUAUAUCUAGCCGCCUGUAGCUCUGUGUGAGCUGCAUUUCUCUUUUUCUUUUUUUCUUUAGCUGGAGACUGUGGAACCUUGUUGGCACUUUUGCCUUUUUUGGUUAAUAAGAUGGCCGUAUGCAUCGUUCUGAUGCAGAGGCCGGGGAGACCCCCCUUUUCAAAAAAAAAGAAAGCUAGCAGUUUAUUUCUCUUGUGAGAUACUAAUUCUUUGAUAUCUUUUGAAUAAAAUUACUUUUAAAAUCAGUUUACAUAUUUGAAUUCCAAAUGAUGAUAUCUUUAAAAGAAGAACAAAUUUACACUUUUAAAGUAGUGUAAAAAUUCCAGAAUAAUAUUUCACUCCUUUCUUAAAAAACAUAUUUCACUCAUUCAUUAGAAACUAAGAGUGCGGGAUAUAUAAAUUCAUGAAUAAUAUUUCACUCCUUUCUUAAAAAAACAGAUUCCACUCAUUCAUUAGAAACUAAGAGUGUGGAAUAUUUUCAAAACACUGGUUCAUUUCAAAAUAUUUAUAUCACUCUUUUCAAAAGAAUUAUGUCACUCAAUUCAUAAAAUAAGUUGAUUUAUUUUCUAAAAGACUUAUUUCGCUCAUUAAAAAACAUAUUUCAUUUAUUAAAAAGGUUUCACUCAUUUCAAAACAAUUUCACUAAUUUUAAGAGAGGCUGAUUUCAUUCAUUUAAAAACAACAUAUUCACACAUUUCAAAAUAUAGUUUUUGAUAGUUUUUGAAUCAUAGAUUUCACUUAAUUCAAAGUGUUGUUUUCACCCAUCUCAAAAAACAAUUCCACUUUUUUCAAAGAAGCGAUUUCACUUAUUUCACACAAUUAAAUAAAGUUUUCACUCUUAAAAAAUAAUUUAGUUUGAAAAACAGAUUUCAUUCAUUAAAAAUGAUUUAACUAAAUUAUUAGAAAAUCCUUUUUGAAGAAUAAUGAUUUCGCUCAUUAAAAGAUAGUAGAUCUUACUCAUUAAAAAAAAUCACUCUUCUAUAUAAAACUAGUUUCACUAAAAAGCAAUCAAUCCUUUAAAAAAUGUUACUCUCAUUUCAAAGAAUAAGCUGACUAAAUCAAAACAGAUUUCACUCAUUGGUCUUGCUGUAAAUAGUUUUCCACACUGAAAUAGAAUGAGUGAAAUAAGUGGAUAGAAACAUUGAAAUUUAAAUGUGCUUGAAAUGUAUGCAAGAUUUGUCUUGUUCUAAAGGUCUUUGCAUCAGGAGUUCAAAUAUAUUAAAAAAAAUCAAAAUCAAGAUUAUGGUUUACAAGAUAUGGAUGAUUUAAAUUGACUAAUAUGGAAUAAAAGAACGGAUUUGUUGGAUGACAAGGGGAGAGAGAGUAGAUGUUCCACUAUUCAUGUUUUCCGGUCAUGCAUGCAUGUGAGUCAUAAAAGAUGGGACCGAUUAGACUUAAUAUCACAUAUUUUUUUUUUGAAAAGAAGGAAGAUCCCGGCCUGUGCAUCUGGGCGAUGCAUGCAGCCACUUUAUUAAUUAUUCACAAAGACCUUGCAAAGUAAUGCAUCAUUAAGUCUAAAGCCGCCCUUUUGGCAACAUUUGUCGCUACUUCUAUCCAGUUGAUAAAGGGAUGCUAAUAGUCCAAGCCUAAUAUCAAACAGACCUCGCAGCAAAGCCUAACAUCUAAGACCGAAGGCCCUAACCAAGUCACUUGCCGGGUAUGGGGCGCACACCGGUCCGGCACACUCUCGGAGGCCGCCGCCGCCUACUACCACCGAUCCAUCUUCAGAGUUGUACUGACGCAUCGACCUUACCUGGCCUAGCUGUCGUCGACGCCACCACGACUCCAGACGGCGCCACCAUCCUGCGCGCCUUCAUCAUUACACGCCCAGCAGCGAGACCCCGCUGCUCCAUGCCGCUGAGAUCCGCCGUUGUCGACGUGCCAGAUGCAACGCCGCUCCUCCUUCGCGAACACCACAUGCUGCCACUUGUCCCAUCCCCCUGCAUGCAGUUCCUCUGCACUCCCAACCGAGCCCCAAGGCCCAUGAUGACAACUCCAGGAAGGUCACGACGCGAACGGCGUCGCUGCCGCCAAAUCCGAAAAGGAUUGUAGGUUUUCACCCGGGCAGGGAAUCGGGUGGGUAGUUUGGGACCUCAGCUACGGCUCCAUGAAGGAAAGCGACGCCCUUGGGCAUCGCUGCCGCCGGGCCGGCCAGACCGGCCAAGGUUUCCCCCGGACCCCAAAUACAACACUAGGGCUCACCACCAUCGGAGCCGGCAGACGCAACCCACCGGGGCGUUGAGAGAGGCAGCAGGACAGUGGGGGACCCCCAGAUCUGACACAAUAGAGCACCGCGCCGAGGCCGGAUUCCACUAGCGACUCAUGGCCCGUGCGGCCGAGCAUAAUGGCCAGCGUCUCCUGCGGACGUUGCCAGCAGCCGGACAAUGCCGCCUCCCCGGCAAGGCUACCGCCCCAAGGAACCGCAUGCCUCCAAUGCGAGUCUCUGGUCCGAAGACCUUCGAGAUCAAUCCGAGUGCCGAGAUCCCCGACGCCACCUUCCCCAGCGCACGCGCGGGCUUUCCCGGCGGCCGUCUCCGGUGGCGGCGAGAAAGGAAGGGGGUGAAGGGGUGGCGGCGUGGCGGAACCCUAAUCGCCCCCGCAGCUUGGUAGAUCGGUCUUAAUAUCACAUACUUACACAACAAUAUACAUUUUGUGUGGGCCUCCUGUUGCACGAAUCACAGACCGCCUGAACGGUGAGGGAUAUAAAAAUGUCUUUGCCCAGAUGCAUCACGUUCCCCUUCCAAUAAUAUAAUGAAUAUUACAAGAUAACUAAUUCUCAUCUAGGUGAGAUCCAGAGAAACCCCAAAAAUUUGAUGAUGAUGCUGGCUUUUGGAAGAUAAAGGUAAAAGAAGAUGGGCAUUGUUUCUCAUAUUCUGAGUGGCCAGUGGCUGCCGGCAGUGGGUAGCACACAUGCAUGUCUGGUUGGCGCGACCUGCUUCAAGAAUCUCAUGGACCAGACGCUCAACGGCGAAACCAUCCGACACGACGCCGACGUGGGUGGUGUUGGCCAUUCUGAUAGACUUGUAGCAUCCCCGCUGCUCCGGAUCUUCACCGACAACCGCGUCGAGGGCAAGUAUGCUCGCCAGAUUGACCACUCCGUCGCCGUCCCCGUGCACCACCUCGGGGUCCUUGUCGAGGUCGCCGUCCCAGUACACCAGCUUCUCCGGGGUCGGCACGCCCACGCCGUUGACGCACGUCAUGGGUACCAGCGGCGCCCGCAGGUUGAGCGCCACCGGCAGCGCCCGCGACAGGUACAGCCUCACUGCGGACGCCGGCAGCCCGGCCGCCGACAGGAACUCCGGCAUGUCGCGCGCGGUGUAGUUCCUCGCCCGCGUCACGACCAGGGGCGUCUCGCCGCCGAAGACCGCCGGCGACGGCAGCCCCGCGAACGCGGACUCGAAGCUCCUCUUGACGCGCCGCAUCGACAGGACGCCGGCGCCGUCGCUGGCGGCGAGGCCCUUCAUGGUGACCACGAUCCCGCCGGCGCCCGUGGAGGCCAUGAUGAAGUGCUUGACGAGCCUCCGGCGCCACGCCAGGGGGCUCCGGUUGAGGAACUCGAGCGCGAGCAGGCCGCCCUGGCUGUGGGACACGAGGAUGGCCGGCUUGCCCCCGUUUCUCCUGCUCGCGUGCUCCACGAGCGCCGUGAGACUCCGGCGGAAUCUGGAGAACUCCCUGUUCGGCAGCCCCGGCGCCGCGGGCGCGUGCCGGAGGUCGUACGGAGCGCCAAAGAGGCUCUCGCCGUCGAUGUACCCGGUUCGCUCCAACGCCUCCACGAGUCUUCCCAUACAGAUCUCCCUGCUCCUCCACAGGUUGAGCAAUCAGCAUGCGUGAGCUAGGGAACAUAACUAUACUACUAUAGUGAUUGAUUCCGAUGCUUACAUGUCGGCAGGGUCGUCGGAGAGGAAGCCGCCGGUGGAGCCGAACGAGAGGACGCGGGUCUCGACGCCGGGAACAUUGCGGUAGUCGCCGGCCGUGGGGUCAUAAACCAGGCGGAGCUGGUCGGCGAAGCACGCCAUGUUGGGGAGGUCUUGCAGGCCCGUGCUGUUCUUCCACAGUCGGAACCACCGGCCGUCCCCCUUGCGCAGGCCGCAGAGCGGCGACGGCGAGUCGUAGGCGUCGGUGAGGCGGGCCUCGAUCUGGCCGCAGGAGAAGCCUGGCAGCAGCACCACCGGGUGGAGGACGUCUCGCUGGUGGUGGUGGGCAGCCGACGUGCUCCCAAAAAGGAAGAAGAAGGGAGCAAAGACUAGGAGGCAUGGCAAGCACAGCCAUUGGAGUUUGUCCAUGGAGAUUGAAGACGUGAAGCGUCACAGGCUUCUCAUAUCCAAACCCAAUUAUUCAGGAGGGCAGGUACACAUAACGCAUGUGAUCUUCUUUGAUGGCUUCACGUGAGCACAGCCGUCCUCGUCCAUGCACAUGCAGAGUGCAGAGAUGUAGGGCGUGGUAAGACUUUCAAACACACACAGACACAGGACAGCCACGCACAUCACUCUAUGCACAAAGCCAGAACCAUUGAUCAUUAGUGAACAGAAGUAGUAUUUAGUUGCGUUAUGAAUAUCUACUAUUGCACCAAAUUAAUGGUUGGUUGAUGUUUAUGUNNNNNNNNNNNNNNNNNNNNNNNNNNNNNNNNNNNNNNNNNNNNNNNNNNNNNNNNNNNNNNNNNNNNNNNNNNNNNNNNNNNNNNNNNNNNNNNNNNNNNNNNNNNNNNNNNNNNNNNNNNNNNNNNNNNNNNNNNNNNNNNNNNNNNNNNNNNNNNNNNNNNNNNNNNNNNNNNNNNNNNNNNNNNNNNNNNNNNNNNNNNNNNNNNNNNNNNNNNNNNNNNNNNNNNNNNNNNNNNNNNNNNNNNNNNNNNNNNNNNNNNNNNNNNNNNNNNNNNNNNNNNNNNNNNNNNNNNNNNNNNNNNNNNNNNNNNNNNNNNNNNNNNNNNNNNNNNNNNNNNNCCUGGAGGCGAGCCGGCGGUAGAAUCGGCUCUGGGGGCGGUUAGGCAUCCAGCCGUUGCCCCAAGGUCGCCCCUAGGCGCCGAUAUCGACCCAUUCCUGACCGCUUUUCGGCCCAAUUUUGGCGAAAAAUGGCCCGAUAUCGACACGAAUCGGCCCAUAUUCGGCGUGGUUUUUGUGUCACAUAUUCAUCACAGCAAAUCAAUAAAAAUCAAAAUAGUUCAACAAAUAGUACAACAGCAAAUAGUUCAAUACAAAUUAUAUAGUUCAAGAAAUAAAAACUCAUAUUUCAUCACACGUCGAGCUAGGUGUCGCCCUUGUUCCUCCAUAGGCGCUCCACCAGAUUCUGUUGCAGUUGUUGAUGCACCUGUGGAUCUCGGAUCUCCUGACGCAUAUUGAGGUAGGCAGUCCAGGUUGCUGGUAGCUGGUGAUCAACUUCGGCUAGAGGACCCUGCCUGUAGUAUGGUUUACUGUCAAACACUGGCUCUUCAUGCUCGCUCUCGAUGAUCAUGUUGUGCAAGAUGACACAACAAGUUAUGAUCUCCCACAUUUGAACUUUCGAUCAGGUCUGAGCAGGGUACCGGACAACAGCAAAUCGACAUUGGAGCACACCAAAUGCCCGCUUGACAUCCUUCAUGCAAUCCUCCUGCACCUUGGCAAAGUGGGACUUCUUGCCUCCUGGCACAACGUUUGAGAUAGUCUUCACAAAUGUAGACCAUCUCGGAUAUAUGCCAUCAGCUUGGUAGUACCCCUUGUUGUAGUGCCGCCCAUUGACCUCGAAGUUCAUCGGAGGAGAAUGACCUUCAACAAGCUUAGCAAAGACAGGGGAGCACUGUAGCACAUUGAUGUCAUUGUUAGUUCCUAGCAUACCAAAGAAGGAGUGCCAAAUCCAGAGGUCAUGUGCGGCCACCGCCUCAAGUACCAUACUGCAACCGUUUUUGGCGCCUUUGUACAUCCCCUGCUAAGCAAAUGGGCAGUUCUUCAAUUUCCAAUGCAUGCAGUCGAUGCUUCCAAGCAUCCCAGGAAAUCCUCUUGCUGCAUUCUGUGCUAGGAUCCGAGCAGUGUCUUCCGCAUUGGGUGUUCGCAAGUAUUGCGCUCCAAACACUGCCACCACUGCCCUGCAGAACUUGUAGAAACACUCAAUGGUGGUGGGCUCGGCCAUACACCCAUAGUCAUCGAGUGAAUCACCGGGAGCUCCAUAUGCAAGCAUCCUCAUUGUUGUCGUGCACUUUUGAAUUGAGGUGAAUCCAAGUUUGCCGGUGCAAUCCUUCUUGCACUUGAAGUAGCUAUCGAACUCCCGGAUGGAAUUCACAAUCCUGAGGAAAAGCUUUCGGCUCAUCUGAUAACGGCGCCGAAAUACUUUGUCGCCGUGCAGUGGAGCGUCGGCGAAGUAGUCGGAGUAGAGCAUGCCGUAGCCUUCGAGACGAUGCCGGUUCUUUGCUUUCAUCCGCCCCGGCGCCGAGCCACCUCGCCGUGGCUUUUCAUUGCUCGCCAGCAGGCCGGCAAGGGCGGCGAGGACCAUGAGAUGUUCCUCUUCCUGAAUGUCGGCAUCGGCUUCCUCCUCCAGCAGCGCGGCGAGCGCCUCCUCGUUGUCCGAGUCCAUUGCCGAGGCAGGCAAAUCGCCGAACACCUUGCGGGCGCGGUGGGCGCACACUCGCCGGUACACAGCCCCUUCGUGUCCGGAACGCCGAAAAAAUCGCCCAGACGAUGGUGGAGAGGCUGCCUCGGUGAAACCUCUACACUUUUUUCCGGCGGGGAAUAGCCGGUCUAGCGGUGGUAGGCGGUGGGUGGCGCCGGGAUCAGCCGCUAGUGGUUGGGUGGCGGCCGAGCGCGGGGGAUGGGAGGCGAAUCUGGACGAUAGGCUUGACUUUUCGCCUGACGGUGUGGGCCAGGCGUCCUUUUCCCUUGCGCCGGAGCCCCCGAGCGCCCCCCAAUGCACCGGGUUCGGCUUGCGAUCUCCGGACCAAAAAACGGGCCGAGCUCGCGGAUUUCGGUGUCCUGGGGCGCGACUGGGGCGUUAUUUCGGCGCCGAUGUGGAAAAAGUCGCCUGAAGGGGCCUGUUGGGGGCGCGGCUGGAGAUGCUCUUAAGAUAUCAAGUGUGGGCCACUAUAAUAAGCUCCAAUCAAAGUUUAAAAAGUGAACUAUGCCAUUUAGCGGCAGCUUGGUCAGACAUAAUGAAGAGCUACUUCCUCCGUCCCAAAAUUCUUGUCAAGUCUAAAACAAGAAUUUUAGGACGAAGGGAGUAUAAUAGAGCUUGAAAAAAGCUAAACCAUAUUUAGCAUUUUUGAGUAAAUCAUGGAAAGACAACAACCAGGUGACAAUAUCUUUUUUUUUUGAGGGUAUGCAAAUUGCGUACCUUAGCUUUAUAGAAGAAGAGAAAUGAGACAUACAACAACGUCAAACAACGAAGGCGACCCACUCCACACCCGGCUCAUUUUACUCGUGUCGCUCCAAACUUACAUGAUAUUUUGUACCAAUAUAGCCUCUAGCAUUUUACCAUUUCGAUUGAAUAACACUAAUUUAUUUUUAUAUAAUGUGCAUCCGAUAGAAUAACUUAAUGACAUGAAUAUAUGUCGCACAAAAAAUUAAACAACACUUGAAAAUAUUUUCAUGAAAAUCUAAUGACAAUAAUUAUUUAUUCUUAGAAUCAGUCCAAAGUUAGAUGUCUGAUUGUACGCUUUCCUGAACACCACUUAUUCUGUAAUAGAGAUACUAUUUUUUUCCUAGUUUCACUGGAUACAUUUUUCAAAUUUUUGGUUAUGUAUUUAGUGCUGUCUAUUCAAAAGAUAUAUGUUUUUAUUUUGAUGUAUGUUACUUUUUUUUGGGUAGAAAUGUACUAUCCAUAUCUUUUACAUUUGACACUACUAAUAAAAAAGACAAACAUUUUUUUCACCGAUUGUUUAUUGUCUCAGUAGUAAUAUUUUUAUUAAAUUGAAAAAAAAUUAAGAAAGGAAAUGACAACAUAUUAGCUUUCAUGGGAGUGGAUGGUGUAAACCCAUUUAAUUUACUUUUUCACAUGCUACAUUUUUAUCCAAUGAAAUAAUUUCUAUAUGUACAAUCUGAAUUUUUUUCAGAAAUAAAAUAGUUUUCAUCGACUUUGAAAUAUAUCCCAAGGAAAAAUAUUACAUGCGUAACAUUUUUGUCUCUGACAAAUCUAGAAACAGUAAAAAACAUUGUUUUUACAUGCAUGAAUAAUUGUUAUAAUUUUAUUUUCAUUAUAUUACAAUAUUUAAAUAUUAUAAACAUACAAAAAUUUAAAAAUUAUGUUUUCCAAAUGCUAUUGCAAUGUGAUUUGUCCACCUUUUCCCAUACGCUUGCAAUAUAAGCGGCAGGCUCAGGGCUCCACUAUGAUGCCAGUAUAAUAUCAGCCACCACAAAUCUAUCACCGUGCACGAAGCAAGCGCAAAAUACAGCGACUUUGAGCAACACAAACGACAGGUCGAAACUCGCGAGCGCGAAAAACUUCCAAUUCGCACAAUAGAUGUCUUCAACGCAAUUCAAAAAAAAAAGAUGUCUUCAACGUUUGGUCGAGGUGGCCUGAGGACCGCAAGAACAGCUAGCAUCUGCGAUCAUCAUAACAUUAACCAGGCAUCACCAUGCAUCGUCUGCACAUCCUUUUGCUUGUGAAUGUGACGAAAAUCUGCCCGGUAUAUUCAUGAACGCAAUUUGCAAAAAAAGAAGAAAGAAGUAUAUUCAUGAACGCACAAGCAUCACGUAUCAGAUCAAGAGUACUUCUACCUAGCUAGAUUUUUGUCUUGUCUAUGCAGAGGGCAGAGAUGUGGGGCGUGGUAAGACUUUCAACCACACACAGACACAGUACAGCCACGCACAUCCCACCUAUUCCUCCCUUAAUUAAACGAGUGCAGCCACCGAAACGGAGCUCCAGCGCGAGCGACCUCGACGCCAGGAUGGGGUUGCAUGCUGUGCUACCCCGCAACACCUGGAUGGAACCGCCGCAUGCUACAGCGAUAGUUGGCAUCCGCAUGGGCUUUGCUCGGCUGAUCGUCCGUACAGACUUCAUCUGGCCGCGCUGCCCUCCACGCCCCAGUCCAAGCCGUCAUGGCACCAGCAAGGAAUCGCCGUAAGCCUGCAGCACGUCGUUGGCACCCGCAUGAGUUCCGCUCGGCCAGCCACCUCCGGCCGUCAGUACAGACUUCACUCGGCCGCGCUUCCAUUGAUCCAUUCACACCCAGCACAAUUAGGAACACUUGCGGCUGUCCCGUGGUGGAGCCCCUCAGCCAUCCUGCCUUUGGUCCGGCAUGGAGCAUGGUGAGUCGGUCGACGCGGCGUGCGAUGGGAGAGGAAGAAGAGAGCUCUUUGCAGUAAGGAUAUCUCAUUUCACUUAUGUUGUCUCAAGACUUUCAACAUCACUAGAGCGCGAAGCUUGUGGGAUUUCAUUGCGAUGGGUAAGCUGAACUCCUCUGUCUUUGGUUUCAAUAUUCAGUCAGCAAGGUGAAUGGGAUUUUUUUCCAAAUUACUGAAUCUAGAGGCCACUUGAUUGGUUUUAUUCAGAGAAUUUUGAUAUAUAUACUUACGGGAGCAGUCCAACGGUCCAUCUCUCUAUGUCGAUUAUCUUUCGAUCUUCUGUUAUUGUGUUAACUAAAGAGAGCAGAAUGGAUGAAGCGGAAGGUUAAUUCAUACAUAUUAGGCUAAGGUGAUUUAAGCUAUUUCCUCAUAAGUACUACUUCAAUGCUAAAUUACCUUUUGUAUUACAGAAUUAUGAUCUUUUAGAGGUAUGACAUUCUAAAUCAUUUUUUGAUUUCACAUUAACAAUGCUAUGUUCAUCCCCUAUUGUUGUGACCUCCAUGGUAAUCAUUGCAACAUAAUUAUAACAAAUAAUCAUGAGUUAUCUAUUUUUGCAUCUCUAUUUUUGCAUCACUAGCUGUAAAUGAAAUCAGCUGCUUAAAAAUUUCAACCAUAUAUUCCCGCCGCAACGUGCGGGGAAUUGUCUAGUUUCUAUUAUAAAUGGCGCUAGUCUACCCGCCUCCGGAGCUUCCGCGUUCGCCGAUUGGACCGAGCGAUCUUUUUACUAUUGUUCUGGUACAUCAUAUAAUGUUAUUCUCAAUGAUCAUAUCUAUAAAGUCCCAGCUCAAUAUUAUCUUAUUGAGUCGGCCCUUGGGGGCUACACGUUGUUGUUCAAAGUCUACAUGAUCAUAUCUAUAAAGUCCCUGCUCAUUAUUGCAUAAUGACCCGGCCCUUGGGAGCUACACUGGUUGAAGUUUUUUGAGCAUCAGGCAAUUACAAGUCCCAGGUUGCUGCAAAGCAUGACAACCCGGCCCUUGGGGCUACAUAAUAUGGAGUAUUCAGUUUUUACUAGUGACUGGGAUGAACAACAUGGAUUUCAUCCUGUGGUGGUGAUGUGUCUGUGUACAUUUUGCGGGGUGUAUGUAAGAAAGUUUUUGUUCGAUUGUUUAAUAGUAGUGGAGACGAGGAGGCACUUGCCUUCUUGCCUAUCCUAGUAGGUGAUGGCAUAUGACUAUCCUGGCAUCACCGACGUGGCGGCCCUCUCCAGCAGUAUCCGGAACUCUAGCGUAGGCUCCGUCGCAGCAACCCCGAUGGAGUCGCCAUCCUCAUCACAGAGUGUUCAAAUAUAUUACCCGUCUCUUUCCAUCAGCUCGGACUUUUGGAGCAACAAGCUGGUGCAUGAAUUCAAUAUAUGGUAUCUGAAUCAAGAGGUUUUGAAUUCAAGAACCUGACAACGCAGUAGUAAAAAUAAACGAUUCUGUGGCCUACAUCGAUUCCACGUCCAACCACUAAAAUAGCCUAAAGAUUAGGGGGAGUGUUGAUAUAUAUUUACUGUCUCUCUUCAUCAGUUCGAAAUUUUAGAGCAACUAGCUGAAGCAUGAAUUCAAUACAAGGGACACCAUACUGGGGAUAAAAAAACAUUCAGGCACGGUCGCAGCCACAAGGAUUUCACGGGACCAACCGGUACUAGCUAGUUGUACACGUGUCAUGAGAGGAGAGAAAUCCGGAGGGGUGGGAUGUAGGGAGGGGCUGACCUCGAGCGAUAGUGGGUCGUGGCAGCGGUGCAGACCGUGGCACGGUUUCGCUGGACCAGUUCAUGUGGCAUCGUAUCCCCUUCCCCAUCGUGUCGAGCACAUCGAUGGCAUUUCCUAAAUGGUGCCUUAAGUGCCCAUUUCUUUGAAACAGGCAAACGGGCGCACACGCCGCAUCCACACUGGCUGACCCAUCAUACUCGGUUUUUUUUACGUUUUUCUGCAAAACCUUUCAAAAAAUGUGUGCCACGAAGUUUCGAACUGCGCUGCCCAUGCAAUGGGCUAGCGCGCUAACCAUCCUGAACAACAUUCGCUUCAUGAUGGAUUCCUUCUUUUAUUCUUCUUUAAAUAAUGAUCUUUUUAAUGUUAGAUUUCCAACUUGUUUGUUUUUUGGCCAUUUUUUUACUGUUUUUCUUCUUUUUUCAUUUUCGUGAACUUUCUUGAGUUUAUGAACUUUUUUGUUUUUGUGAUUUUUUUCAAAUAUUUUGAAUUCGUGAACUUUUUUCAAUUUGAUGAACUUUUUUCAAAUUCAAUAAACUUUUUUCGAAGCAAUGAACCUUUUCCAGAUUUGAUAAAUUUUUCUUCAAGUCGAAGACCAUUUUUUUUACAAAUUUGAUGAACUUUUCUCUAAAUUUGUGAACUUUUCUACAAAAUCGAUGAACUUUUUUAUCAAAUUCAUGAAACUUUUCCAGAAUUUGGUGAAAUUUUAUUAUAUUUUCUGAAUUCCAUGAACUUUUUCAAAAAAUUGAACUAUUUUUUCAUACAUGCGAACCUUUUUUAAAGCAACUUUAUGAUUUUUCACAAUUUCAUGUUUUUAUUUUUCAAUUGAUUUAUAUGUAUGGAAUAUAUGUUAAUGUUUUGUACUAAACCGAUGUUAAAUAGCACUGUUUUUGGAUUGUAAUUAGCAAAGUAUUCUCGGUCCAUUGGUUGUUGCCUCAAGUCUUCAAAUCCAUAUUUUUGGCUGAAUAUUUUCUCUUCGUGUCUAUAUUUUUUGCAGGUUGCUUGGUCGGCCCGCUAGGCGUCGCGCGUGGGCGCCAGCGGUGGUUAGGGGCGCUAAAAUCAACCUAUAGGAGAUCUCCAUAUCGAUCGGUCUGGCGACGACUGACACGUCCCAUCUCAACGCAUCAACCGAAGGGGUCCGAGCCUUCCGGUCUCUCUGGGCAGUUGGGAUGAGCGAAAAGUCCCAAUCAACGAGAUAAUUCAGAUUUUUUCUCUAAAGCAGCAGCCGCUUAGGACAGCGCAUCGAACCACCAAAAAUGACCCUCAUAUGGGAUCUAAUGGUCAGAACGGCAGAUGGUGUGAGAGAGCUUGGUUUAGCCUCAGUGUUACUAUCCUAAAUGAUCAUUUAAAAGAUAGCAUGUAAAAAUCAUAUAGCUCACUUUAUAAUAUCAGAUAAAUCAAGAAGCAAGAUGAAAUUCAUCAUUCUUCAUAUGGCUUAUCAGAGAACAAUCUUGUUGGUACACAAUUUAUGAUCUCGUUACUUUAUUUAGUUAAACAUGACAUCCGGUCCUAGCUAAAUAGUAUCCAUUUUAACGCAAUCCAGGCACUUGCACCCCUCCGCAACACACUCGCCAUGUCCACCGCUCCACAUAAGGUGGUCGAUGCAUGCCUUAUUGCAGCUUUUAUUAUCACAUGGCUUUGGUUAUGGGAUAAUGCUUGACACACAGGGGUCUCCUUCAACGGCCGCUGACGCCUUUGUUACCACAUCUGCAAAAUCCCACCAUGAGGAAAAGGG